This 81757-nucleotide long non-coding RNA is filed under the name Physcomitrium patens. RNAcentral's name for it is "long non-coding RNA (PPAT_LNC000182)". Lineage: Eukaryota; Viridiplantae; Streptophyta; Bryopsida; Funariales; Funariaceae. The record is from RNAcentral.
ACGAGAUUAUGGCCCCCGGUUUGGCGAAUAAUAUUUUUAGCCUCUCGCAAUUUGCCCAAAUUGCACCAUGGCUAUUUCAGAAUCAGCAAUCCAUUUUUUUCCCAUGGAGCUUGCAUCCUCCAGGACGGAUGACAGGAAGAUUGGACCCCCACUUCAACUGGUCGCACCCAAAACCCAGAAGAACAUCAGCCGUCGGAGCCGACCGAAUCCUCAGCUCCACGAUCACCAGCACGGCGAAGGAAGACCAACAACCCCCACACCGCGUCAAUCGACCCCCUCACUUUCGCCAAACGCGUCAGGAGUUACUGCAGUAAAUUGAGCGCCGCAUCGAUCCUGCGCUGGGUGUCGCGGCGACUAUUCUGACUCGAAGUGUCCUCCAAGAUUCCAGGGUCGUCGGGGCUCGCGUUCCAGAUUGCCGUGACUCAUCGAUCGACCCAUCAUCGAUCCACCAAUCUAUCGAUGUAUCCAUCGAGAAAUCCAGACCUUGGGAUGAUGAUGAUGAUGACGAUGAGCAGUUGGGGGGCUGGCUGUGUGGCGUGGCGUGAGGGAAUCGGAGCCUAUACAAGUCCACUCUCACAACUGGCCACUGAACCUAGAAAUUACAAAAAAGGAUAGGUUGCGUUGACGUGACGUGCCGUUGCGUGUUUAGAUUUGCAGUUCAGUGCUGCUGCUGCGUUGCAUUGCGUUUCGUUGCAUUGUUGCAGUGUUGUGUUGUGUUGCGUUGUGUGAAGUGGGAGGGCGCUGUGGAAUUCACAACUCCACCUUGAUUUCGUCCCAUUCCUCCUCCGCCUCCUCCUCCUCCUCACUUUUGCCUGCCCUGCCUGCCUUCCUGCACUCCCUGCUGUUGCUGUUGCUUAUUCUUCUCCCUACUUCUCUGUGUUUUUUCUCCUUCUGUGAUGGUUGUUUCUCGUUGUUUCUAAUUGUUUCAUGCAUCGUGUGUGAGUUUUCUCCAUAAAGUGCCUCUUUACCUCACUCCCUACGUUGUUUAUCAUAUAUCCUGUCUGUAUAUACAUAAAUAAAUAUAAAUAUAUAUAUAUAUGUGGGAAUGUGUGUGUGGUUAUUUGUUUCUGGAGUAUUGUGGGUAGGGAAGCUUCGGUGUGUUUGGUUGGAGUUUGUUUACUGUGUUCGAUUCUUCGGAAAUGGAGUGAAAAAGUGAAAUAUUGAAUAGUAGUUGUUGGAUUUGUGAGGGUUGGUUUAGAGUUGGAUGAAUGCUUCAUUGCUUUGCAUCAAAUGCUUUUUGAUAACUGGAGGUAUGGAAUGUGAUACAUUUGGUUGUUGUUUUGGACAACGUAACUUGGAUUUUGUGGAUGAAGUUAAAAUAAUCACCGCAUUGUGACAAGGCAAGAAUGUCUGUGUUUUCUUUUGUUAUAUAUAUAUAUAUAUAUAUAUAUAUUUAAUAUGAUUUUUGUACUAGGUUUGUUAUUAUUUUGGUUUUUAAGUGCAAUAAUGUAUUUAAAGUGCGUAGUAAUAUUAUAAAACUAUUUCAUAUCAUGAUACAUCAGUUUAUAAUUUUUGCCCAUAUCUUUGUGGAAUUUUUAUAUCUAAUCCUUUGGGUUUGUAACUACUUAUGUUUGUACACUCUAUUAAUAAAAUGUGAAUGUUGUUUUUAUUUACUUGCACCUUUGAUAGUAGACAUGAUAAUUAAUUUAGUUAGAUCUCUAACAAAUUCUUCUACUUGUAGUUUAAGUUUGUGUAGCUUCAUAUAUAUAUAUAUAUAUAUAUUCACACACACAUUUUAUACACUAGCAAGCUUAUGCUAUUAAGCACAUAAAUAGGUUAUGUGGAUCCCAUGCUAUUUCUCUGUGUGAACACAUCUUCUAUCUUAGAGUUUGAAGUCAUUUCUUGUAUAUCACAUGUAAAUUUUAAUUUUUAGUUAUCUUGCUUUGGAAACAUCUCUUGCAAAUCAAAAUUAAUGUUUAUAUUUGUAUGAAAAUAUACACUAUUUCGAAAAAUGAGAGUGCUUAAUCAUGCCCUUUGUUAUGUCUUUGCAAUUUAUUUUUUAAAGUAAAAUGCAUCCCUUCCUUUUAUGUGAAUAUGACUCCAUGAAUUUGGGUGCAAUAUUUUAAGGUUAUUUUAUUUUAUUUUAUUUUUGUAUGUUUAAAUUUCCAUGAGAAGAAAUGCUGCACGUUGGUUAUAAAUCAGUACUAAAAAUUGAUAUUCCAAAACUUAAGAAAUUUAAUGUAUAAAUUCAGGAGAAUAUUUUGAAGCUUUAACCUAUGUGAUAUUAAUUUGUCUUGUCAAAUUAUAUAUCUCAUAGUAUAAUGAUUUGUUCCUCUUGUUGUAGAAAGGCUAUUGGAAAAGCAUUUACAAGGUGUUCAAUUUAUUUUUUCACAAUAUGUAAAAACCUACAAUUUGUUAAUUCUAAAAAUUUAAUCAGAAAAUCGAACAACAUUUUAAUAUCGGACUACAUCAUAAUGAUUAUUUAAAAUCAACACAGUAAUUUUCAACAUUUUCAAUAGGUAUACUGUUGAUAAAAAUUUCAUUAUCAGUUUUUAAGUUUAAUUUAUUUUGCAAUAAAGUUUAUAGUCAUAUUUUACUUAAAAAUGAAACACCUUUCUUGAAUAUUAAUUUCAGAUGCACAGCAUAUGGAUGUUUGUAUGUGAUUGUGGCCACACAAGUAACACAUGUGAGAUCCAUGAAGUGGAAUAUUUUGUUCAAGUAGGUGAAACAAUUCAAAAUGUAUAUUUGAAUGGUUGAUAUGUAUUGAAUGUAUUGGUCAUAAAAUAACAAUGUAAAGUAACAAGAGAUGACUAAUCAACAAGAUGCAAAGACCCACAAUAGACAUAUUUAAAUUGUAGAAAUGUUGUGUGUAAGUAUAGGUUUAAGAUAAAUCUAAACAAUUGGUGGGAAACUACAAGUGAAGCUUCUUAAAACUUAGUUUAAAAGAGAUAAGGAGUGAGUUUGUUGCCAUUAAUACUUUGCCUUUGUUCAAGGGUGUUUUUUUGUGUGAAUAUUUUUAAUACAAGUAGAUGAGAGCCAUAUUGAUAUAAUAUAAUAUAUCACAACAUUAUCAGCAUUAUAAUUAUAUAUAUAUAUAUAUAUAUAUAUAUAGAUGUAUAUUUCUUCACUGGAAUAUUGUGUCCCAAAAGCUUGAACACAACUGACAAUUGCUUUCAAUAGAACAUGACUUUGAUAAAAAAAAAUAAAAAAAUAAAAAAGUAAAAUAAAAACUUUGAAAUCGAUAUUUCACACACAUUUUUGAAAAGAAAACUUUGUAAUUGUUCUGUGGUACCUUCUGGUACGAAUUUUAAGUUACUCCCUUUUUUUUUUAUUUCAUAAACUAAAAAUAAUAUUAUGACAAUUAUAUAUAUAUAUAUAUAUAUAUAUAUAUAAUAUAUAUAUAUAUAUAUGUAUAUAUGUAAAUAAUAUAUAUAUAUAUAUAUAUAUACUAAAGAUCAAAAUUCCUUUUUUCUUCUAAAUCUUUCAUGCACAUUAUUUUCUGGUUGCUUCCAUGAGCUAAUGUUUUCUUCACAUGUUGGUUAAAACAUCUAAGUUAUGUUUAAUAUAUGAUAUUUCAUUUUCAUACUUUCUUUUGGAAUACAUUUUUAUAAUUAUGAGUUCUAGAUUGUCAUCUCACCUCUACAUUUUCAUUCAUUUUUCUAUUUUUUUUUGGUAUAAACCUUAGUCUAGUGUGUAUCCAUAUCAUGUUGCUUUGGCUUUAAGCUAUACACCUCAAUACAUAACUAUUGCUCCUAAACAAAUCAAUUCAGUAGCCAUUGGCUUCAUCUCUUGCAUUAGUAUUCCUUGAAAAAUUUGUUGACAUUUACAUGCACUUCAAAAACAAUUGAUUAAAUCAAAGAUAUUCAACACAAUGAAUGAUAUAAUAUAUUUUUAAUCAUUUUAGAAUAAUUAGCGCAAUCUAAUAUAUCAUGGAUUCCAUUUGUAUAUAUAUAUAUAUAUAUAUAUAUGGUUACUCACUCGUAUAUAUAGUUAACCAUAUAUAUAUAUAUAUAUAUAUAUAUAUAUAUUUAUUUAUUAUUGGUUAACCAUAGGCUUUGCUAAUGUUAAGUACAUUUUUGACAACCAAUUAUUAAAAAAAAAAAAAAAAAACACAAACACAAACACAAACACAAUACACCUUAGUAGUUAAUCAAUGCCCAUUACUGCAAUAAAAAAAAAAAUAAAAAAUAAAAAAUAAACACACACACAAAAUACACAUAAAAUGGUGCUACAUUAGUCACUUUAGUGAAGUGCAAGUCGGGUUCAUUUGCACUGCUAUUGCCAUUGCCAACCCACCAUUGCCAACCCACCAUUGCCAACCUGGCUUGUCCCAUCCUCUUAUUCGAGUAACUGGGUUAAACCCGUAAUUAGGUUUUAUCAUCUUACUACUCUAGCCAAUGGAAUUUUUUGACAUUCUAGCCUAAUAUAUAUAUAUAUAUAAUUUAAGGUCUAAUAAAUAUAAUAAGAAAGCUUAGUUAUAAGAAAAAUAAAUAAAAUAGCAUUGUCAUUGACUAAUUGGUUGAAACAAAGAGGUCUUCUUAUUGGCCAAAAACAUAUGUUGUCUUUUGGUAAUGUAAAAACAUAAGUUAUUCUAUCAUAAUGUAAAAGUUUGUGUUACCUUUUUUCAAUGCUUUUCUCCAAAUACAAUCAAGAUUUUUUAUCUGCAAAAUAGUAAAGCCAAAAGCACCACAACAAACAUAGUUUAUUUUAUAUUUUUAUUAAUUAGCUAUUUUAGUUAUUGAAAUAAAUAAGAAUUGUAUUUGCUUGUAACAUUAAAGAAACAUAAAUAUUUUAUGCUUAUUUGAUUUGAUUUUUUGACAUUUCUCUAGAAUUUGUUGAUUUUUGGCUUGGAAAAUUAACAUGCCACAUCUUUUUUUGUGCCCAAUCGCACAAGUUUCUGCUAAUAAUCAAUAAACAUGCUGAAAUGCAAUCUCAUCAAUGCAUAAAUAGCUCCAAAUUUACAAAUGACAAUUUAUUUGGUCCCUUAAUUAUAAGUAAAUAAAUAAAUAAACAUACAACUGUAUUUUUUCCUAUUAAAUUAUCUAAUUGACACUUAACAUCUAGUUAACAUUUCUGGAUGAAAAGGAAAACCCUUAUCCAGUGUUUCUGAUGCCCGAUGGAAACCCUAAUUCUGCAUCCCCGCGUCGUUACAGACGCGCAUUCCUCGUUCGCCAUCGCAACCAACCCAUUUUCUGAAUUAGGUAUGUCGAAAAGAUUGAUGCAUUGCUGCCCACGAGGGCCAGUUUUCUUUGCACUCACUUUUUGGUUUUGUUUUUUUAGCUGCUGAGUUUUUUUGAGUGCUUUUUGAGUUGUUUUGUGUUGUGUUGUGUGCUUUUUUUUUUUGACAGUAGUGAAACUUUUGUGUUGUUGUGUAGUUUUUUCGACACUAUUGCAGCCCUUUCCACAUGGUUAGCGUUAUCCUGAAAAUAGGACGACCCACACUCCAGGACGCAUCUCGUCUAUCUUCGGUAUAUUGACUCUUCCGCAUCAGUUAUUUUAGCUCUCCACCAUUGCGUGCACAGCGUGUCAGAUUCCACUGGAGCUACUCCGUCGUGGAAGCCAACGCCAGGGCGAAGCUUGUCCACGGACAUGAACAGGACGAUAGGAAAUCAAAGCGAUGCACUGGAAAGCCUCGGAGUGACGCAGACACCUUCAAACAGAGCCUUCUUCCAUUGGGGGUGAAAGAGAGCAUCACGUCAAGCCUUACGAUUACUGCAUGUUUGCACAUCGUGGAUUGGAGUUUCGAGUGCACGCCACCGGACCCUGCCUCUCAGUAGUGAAGUGAAAAAAGGGCCGCAAUGGUCAUAGCUACUCGUGGACUACACCUUUUGAAGCAUUUAGAUGGCCUCUAGUUUAGUAGCUAUCCCAAUCGAUGCUUUUGGCGUGGUUUCAUGUGUGGUCCUGGUGGAACAUCUCUCAGACCUUGAUUUUGUAUUUGUUUAUUUUGGUAUGUCUCACGAUAACUAAGAAGUUUCAGUGCAAGGAGAUGAGAAUCUGCAGCAUGGUGUCAUGGAUUGACUACUGGUUACCGUGGUAAUCAAGCGGUAAUGUCUAUCCUGGUGCUAAUCACAGACCUCUCUGGUCAUUUGUGAUAAUACACAUUUACGAACCGAAUGGCUGAGGCCUCUUCGAACAAAUGACAAGCCAUGAGAAACUUACUUCUUAGGCGGACAAGAGUUUCAUGGGAGAUGAAGGAGAGCUUCAUACUGUUGCUUUGCCAAGGUUCACUCCGUGUUCGCUUGCCUGGGGUUGCCCUUUCAAGGAAGAGCUGAUUCGUGCGAACGCAACAUCUCGAAAUUCUCACAUGGGUGUGUUCGGUAGUUUUCAUGUGGAAAAUUGUUUCAACAAUCAAUUUUCACGUUGUUUCGAAUCUUGGCGCAGGUGAGGUCUUUUUUUGGGUUGAAUAAAAAAUAUUUAAUUAUCUAGAAAGAUUUUUUUUACAUUCGCUUUGUGAAUUCAUUCUUUUUAUUUAAAGACAUAUGCCAUUGCAUCAAUAAAAACUACCAUGUUCCCUACUCACCACAUGUAACCUUAAUUACAUACACAACGUGUCAACAACACGCAAAUCUGCGCAUUACUAACCUGAAAGAUACGCCAUGUUUUCAUUCGAUGUUUAUGAACAUGAUGAUGAAAAACCAUGCCAUUUUCGCGUGUCAAGAAGUACUUUGGAAACAAAUCACUCUGGAUUCGAACGCUUACUCAAAGAAUGAAACAGUUUCUCCGAAACCAUACUGAUUUCUACCACAUGGAUUUUUGGCUAUGUCUGCUUACCAAGUCUACGCGUAGUUUUUGUAUGGGUCGAUGGAAUCUGAAUCUGUUGUUGUUUAACAUUGCUCGUGGCACCGCAGUCACUCAAUUCUGACAUCGUGGAAUCUGGCCUUGGGACUCAAUCAGUGUUCUGUGUAUCCUUUUUUUUUUUUUUUUUUUUUUUUUUUUGUUUUUCUCUUUUUGUCGUUUCGAGUCUUUUGAUACUAACUGUAAUUUUAUCUUGAAAUUCUUUAGUUCUACGGUGCUUGUUCAAGAUACCUCGAUUGUGUCAUCAGCACGGAACCUCAACCUGCAAAAUAUCUCUCCAUAUUAUAGGCUUACGGAGGCAAGGCUGACAAGGAAACACCCGUGGGAUUAUCCGUUAUAAAACCGUAGAACUUUAUAGCCACUCACUGGUGACAUCAACCUUCAUCAUUUCACAAGCUCUCACUGUGCAAGUUUCACUGAAUGUGGACCAAAGCAGAAUGUAUCUGAGAUCUCAAAGCAGUAUUUGACGUAUUGAAUUGUUACUUUUCAGCCAUUUUAGGUUGACGAAGUUAGUUGCCUCAUGUGCCUAACUGUACCAGUGAAGGAGCCUCUUCGGCUGAGAUUUCAAAACAGUAUUCGACGUAUUGAAUUGUUACUUUUCAGCAAUUUUAGUUUGACGAAGUUAGUGCCUCAUGUGCCCAACUGCAGCAGUGAAGGAGCCUCUUCGGCUGGACACUCCGACUUCACAAUUUGGAGAAAAAGAAUGAGAAAGAGAGUCUAUCACCAAGUCUUUUUGCGUGUGCUUGUUCUAAGCAUUAACAUAUCGUCCAGGAAACUAGUUACAGGAUCAGGCUUUGCAGAAUAAUAGAACCACACGCAAUUAUUUGUAAUAGACAGCAAUGUACCAUGAGAACUACAGUUGCUGAAGAUAACGAAUACUACAACAAUUUCACCUCACUCUCUUUUCACUGCAUUCCCUACACGUUUCACAAUAGCUUUCCCUCUACCUUGAAAAUUGAUUCAAGCGAACGACGGUUAAAACCGAGGAGGAUGAGUUUGUUUCAAGAUUUUGCUGGUGGAUAAGUUGCACAGGCUCAUUUGUGCAAUGCUUCACUUGUUUAGAAAUUUAACCAGUAUGCACUGGUUAAAUUUCUAAACAAGCGACUUUAACGGGUCCAGCGGCACAAACAUGGCCUUCAAGAGAUUCAUGCACAAGUGGUCUUAAUGUAAAAAGCACAUAUCUGACAUGGGGAUUCACUUAAUCACAAGCCCAGGUUUUUAUAUAUUUUUUUCCUCUCACCUUUUCUCAAGAUUUCAUUACGUAUUUGUACUUCUCGUAUUCGACUGAUGCCUUCAAUAAUUAUAGCAGACAGAAACAAUUCUCAGGUGCUGCCGAAUGCAGUCCCCCAAAUGUAAUCAACUACAAACAAUUUUCUUCAUUCCCAGUUCUCACUACCAGCCACUUGGUAUUAUGCUCCAAUCGUUUCCUUCUAUCGAUAAUGCAAGAUGGUAGAUUUCUCCAUUCCAAUUGGGAAUGAUCCAUGCUGGUGUGUGAGCUUGAGUAGGUUAAGGUCAUGGUCACGAGCAUUGCUGUGAACUGCAAGUAGCGCCGUGAAGACGUCCAACCGUUGUGAUAUCUUUGGUUGCAGCCAUGGCGAUCUUGAGAGGCAGCUUGUGUGAGAUUCUGUAGUGACCACAUUGAAAAUAGCUUUUGUAAGUUGAGUUGGUUCUGUGUCUUUUUUUUUGAAUAAAAAACUUCAGAAAAUAAUAUACAAAGCUCAAUCGCUAUUAAAGUGGUUUGAAUGAAAUCCCUCGUUACAGAUUUCGCAGCUUGCUUUCUGAACGUCGUCACGGUUGCUAAGCAUGGAUCCCGCUGGGAGUCUUGGAGUGAAUCAAACCUUCGUCAUUCGACGGCAUACCUGGUGGCGAUCUUCUAGUGCGUGCUAAAAUCUUACCCAUGUGUCCAACAUGUGUAUAGUGUCCCCUCUUUCCUCCAUAGAACUUUUCCUUCAAUGUGUCUUUGUGAUUCACGUGGUCGUGGUCUACAGCCGUGGCCUGAUAUGUUUAAUAGUACCGCCUGAAUGUGAAGAUGGCAGAAAAGAUGACGCUCGCACCUGAUCAAUUGAGCCAGACCGUCAUUCUCAUAACUAGUUCGAAACAACGUAGCAGAAGGCAUUUCAAAGUGAAUGACAAAGUUAUGACCUCUAGCCUGGAGAAUAUUUAGAUGAGAAGCUAAGUUAACAUCACCCAAUAAGUAUCUAGACGCCCAGGCGCACGUCAUCUGGCAGGAAAUAAUUCGCCUGUCAGGUAUCCUGAUGCAAAUUGCAAAUCUAAUGAUGAGAUCAGGGUGGAACGCCAAUCAGUUCACGGUCAAUUUCCAAACUGACCUUUGUGUCUGCAUGGGGGAGUGGAGGCGAGUAAAUGGUUAACAGAGCAGUUAUUUCCAAAUAGAAAAAAUUAAACGCGUUAGAAACUAUUCUUUGUCUCCAGAGGUUCAACCAAUCUUUGCUGAACUUUACAUGCGUUCGUAGUUCUGAAUGAUGCCUCUUUUGUAGUCUUGGGUGGGAAAAAACUACAGUGAAGUAAACCCUAAUUUCAUCUCGCAGCCUCUUUUCUGAGAUGCACGAAUUCAACCUAUACGGUUGGCCUUCUUGCUGAGCAGGUAUGGCGAAUUUCUGCAGCAGUAUAACAGUUGCGAGACUUCAACGAAAUGUUUGUGUCACCAAUGAAUGGAGGUGGGGGACGCGUGGAAUCUAAUGUCCUAAGUUCAGCUCUCUUGGAGAAAUUUAACAUCAACCCAACUUAGUAUACCUAUCAGUAUUCAAGCGAACAAUUGCAUGUUUCUGCAAUUAUACGUGAGAUUUCCUUUGGGAGGCGACUAUCGGCUUGCUAAAGACUGGGAUCCGGAUGCUGUCCCUGAUGUUUGCAAAGUAGGCUGUAGAUAUUCUCUUCUCACUGACAUUGGAGCUAUAUUAGUGAGAGUAUUUUCGAAAUGUUUAGAGCAGCUGGACUCGUUUCCCAGUCUUGAAGAGCAGGGUAGAACUUCCAAACAUUCCAGACAAAUAAUCACUGCAACCAGCGACAUCUCGCAAAGUGUGACUGACAAACAUGGACGUCUGUUGCAGAUACGCAGAUGCAGAGGUUUUUAUCGAUGAAGAGCAGAAGUGAAAUAUUGAUUUCGUGUCUCAACAAAGCCGGGAGUGCUCUAAUUUUUGCGAGUGAUACACUUACUUUGCGCCUGACCUUCAAUAAGAACUUUUGAAUCGUCCAUCUGAGCUACACUUUGCAUUUAUGAGGUGGUGUGUAACAAUUAAACUGAAAAAUUUGAAGAAUGAACGCAUUAGGAUCUUAAACUACACAACAUGAACGGCUUUCCGAGUGAUGAAGAUCAUCUCGUCAUAUGAGUUCGGCAAUUGAACUGUGCAAGUCGGUUGUCAAAUACCUUAGUGCUGUGAGUGUUGCAACCCAAUCGCCAUGAAGGUUUACCUGAAUCAAUUCUCAUUACUGGUUAGUAUGAAUGUGUGUAAUUCCCAUCCUGUUAUUUUCCAACCGAAGACUUUUAACAGGCCACUCAAGGAAGUAUAAAUGUUGUUUACAUUAAAAAAUUGAUAAAAAAUCAGCAAUGAAUAACUACGACCCGCUUUGAAAUCUAAGCGUGUAUUGUCGUCCACCAUGUACUCGUGUCGGAAAUAUGUUCACUGUAGGGGGGGAGCUACUGCACCUAGUGACUCAGUACUUUCAGUGAAAGAAUUAACUGAGUCUGCAUCAAUUUGAUUGAAACAUAAAUUCCUCAUUUAUGGUCUGUAACUGCAUCCUUCGGUGAAUCACGCUGCAGCACUCUACUGGUCUAUUCAAAGUAGAUGGUGGCAAAUGGACGGGAGAUUUCUUACAGCGACAGCUGAUGGCAGCUGUAGGACAGAAGAUGGAUCAGUUUCCAUUGAAGCGGCUGUAAAUUCCCAAGGCGCUCAACCAGGGGCGCACACGGUGAUACAAGACUGGUAGAAGAUUUCGUGCUCCUUUGUUGUUCACCUUUUGGGAAACUCGGUUCAUCUCCGAAGACUGUGUAGAACGGUUUAGAGACUGGGUUUGAAUGAAGGUUUUACGAAGCAACCGUAGUGGAAUGGUGGAAGCAGAAGGUUCUGAAAACUCAUCAGUUGAAGGAUAAUGUAGCCAUGGCCGAUGCAAUGUAGAGAGAAAUUUUUAGCACAACGAGCCAUGGAGCUCAAGAUUGAGUCCACAGCUUGCCAAGAUCUCAAUGUUUGGAAGUUGGUUGCGACGGAAGGGAAGGAAGUGGACUCCCUGAACAACCUAAAACUUGUUCUGGUUUAGAUUGAAAUCUGCACCAAAGCACUCGCAGUCCUACAGCGACCAUGGCCUUACGUCGACAAACUUCGAGACUGUUUUUUGUAACUCUGCUCCUGAUUGUGCUAAUUGCAGUUGUAGGCGUGCGAGCCCAAACUCUUCUGAAGGAUUCCGCCUCUGCAAGCAACUGCUUGUUUCCAAAUACCUCCAGGAUCUCCACCACAGCUUGUUCCCCUAACGACUCCACAUCAAUGCUGUCCACAAUGCUGCCGUGCCAGCCAUACUUGGAUGAAGACGAGGAAGCUCCCAGCACCAUAUGCUGUGGAGCAGUGCGCAACGUCUCAACUUUUAGUAUACCGUGUCUGUGCAAGUAUGUGUUUUACCCCGCACCCAUCGUCAACCACACACGGGGGAGGCUCACGCCUGCCCUUUGCAAUAUGACCGCUGACUUGUGCCAUGACUGCGCUGCCUUUCUCGUCCCCAAAGACCCGGAUCAUCACUGGAACUCUUCCCAAGAUCAUUCAGGCAAGUACACAAUUCCUUCUUUCCUUAACUAGCUACGGAAGCUUUAGCUCGGUUACAUACAGAUCUUGCGUACAAAGCUGUGAGUAAACUAGCAUGGCCUAGACCAGCUUCAACGGAUAGAACGGCAUUCCAGACUGUUACGUUCUUGAAUUAAUUUCUGUGUUUAUGUUCUACGCUGCAACGCUGAACUACAUGUGGAAUGAGUGCAGAAGAGAAGAUUAUAUCAUACAGGAGGAAAGUGAUAGGACUUGCAGUUGUGCUGGGUUUUUCCAUGGCUUGCAUCAUUGUCGGCAUGGCGUUGUUGGUCCGGAAGAAACUCAAGCAACGAAAAGCUCUGACCCCAGUUCUGAAGACGGAGUUUCAGGCCAAGCAACCUGGCAGCGAUUACUGAGACGACCUAUCCUUGGACCCACUCUCAGCUCCCACACAGCAAGCUCAGAAUCUAUCUCUUGGACGCAACUCAAUCAACCAUCUGAUUCUCGUAACCAAGAGUCUCUCGCUCCAGGACCACCGAAGUGUGGGUUUUAGCUCUGCGUUCUGCAAGCUCAGAUGUUCACCAUGCGGCUCACGUGGAGCAGACCCUGUUGCAGGCAUCAGUCAUUGCCUGGAUUAGUUAACAGCAGUUGACAAGUAGUUAAGAAGCGCAGUCAACUACACAAACAUCAGAAGUCUUUGCAAGAUGCUGUAAUUUAGGUUCUGGAACACAGUUCUGCUCAAAAAUUUAAUUUAAUUUAUUUUAAUUUAUUUAUUUUUAACAGCUUGCUCUCUGGUCGUUGAUGCAUUAGAUUUCCCUAAUUUUAUUUUUAUUUCAGUAUGCUGUUUGAGUCUUGCACUGUCUGCUUGUGGAUUGUACAUGUAUAAGGAGAGGUGUUUUCUUCCAAUGAGCUUGUGGGUUCAUGGUCGGAAGUAAAGGGUGUGGAAUUGUUCACUUGUCAAGUGUCGGUGUUCGCAGAUCGUUGCAAAUGGAUAUGAAAGCUUCUGCUUCAAGGCUCUUUUGCAUUCAUUUUAAGAAAUUCGUUGUAGAAUAUUGUUAGAGUGGCCACUGAGGAAAAAAGAACAGUCAUGAGUGAGAUGUCAACAGUGUGGUUGUGGAGAAAUAUUUUGGGUUGAUCAUCUAUUUUGAAAAAAAUAAAAUUUUACAGUGCAAAGUAAAAUUUUAUGUUCUGUUUGUUGUAAGGAGUGAAGAAGUGUUGGUGUGUACUCCUAAUUUUACGAUUGAUUUUUAAAAUAUUUGAAUAAUGUAAAUAGUUUUUUUCUCAUAUAAAUAUCUGUUCAGGUUGAAUAGCCAAGUUUUAAAAUGCAUAUUUAAACAUGUAGAAUUUUUGAAAAUAUAGAUUGCAUCGAAUCCAUUAUAGCUGGUGGAACUUGUGCUACGAAAUCAACCAGCAAAUGAUAACAAAUGUGUUAAUGCAUUGCAUGUUCUGUGUACAUAUAUUACAUUUACACACUAUAAAACAAAGCAAAAUAUUACUUUUAAUAUAUAAUUAUAUAUAUAAAUAUAUAUAUACACAUACACAUACACAAAAUAGUUUCUAAACAUUUGUAUACAUGAUUUCUCUAAAAAACAGCAUAAUAUUAUGACAAAAAAAGAAAAAAGAAAAAAGAAAAAAGAAAAAUUAAUGUUUUUAUUAACAAAAUUUGAAAUAUCUUGACACAAUUUGAUAUUAUUAGUAUGUAAUAUUUCAAAUAAAUUUGGUGCAAGUUUAUUUAUUUAUUUAUUUAUUUAUUUUUUUUUUUGUAAAAUUACAUGUUAAUGGUAGUUAUAUUUUGAAAAUAUUAUCACAUCUAAUUUUACAAAAAUAUGUUAUUUUAAGUAAUUAUUAUGAUAAUAGUUUUAAAUUAAAUUUAAAUCUAUUUUUUUUCAAAUCCUAUUGUAAAGUUCUAUUAAAUUAUAGUUCUAUUAUAAACACAUUACAGUUUUAAUAAAACAAAAGCAAUUUAUUUUAUUUAAAUUAAAUAGAUUUAAUAUUUUGAUAUCAAACUUAAAACAAAACUUUAUAAUUGAUUAUAGAAUUGCUAUCUUACAUUAAUUUGAGCUUUAUGGAAUUAAUUCUAAGAAUACAAAUAUGCAAUUUUAUGCUUCUUAAAGCCUUAUAGAUGUUUAAUUGACUUUUUAAGUAUUUGUAGUUGAUUGGUACAUUAGAAACUUGGCCAAGAAGUUAGCCAUGUGUUGCAAAUAUUAGCCACUUGUGAUAGAAGUUUGUUAUGUAGUGCACAUGUAAAACUUGUUUUACAAAUUAGACAUUUGUCUUUCAAAUUGAAUACUUCUUGGAGAUCAUAUAGAAUUUUGCCACAUAGCUUUUAGUUAGAUAGUACAUAUAGAAGCAAGAGUGAUGCCUUCUUUAUUCUUAUCAAUGCCUUUUUUGUUCUUAUUCUUGUUUCAAGAGUCUUUAGUCUUUUUGUCUUUUAUAAUAGCCAUUUUAGUUUUAAUAUGAUGCUAUAUUUGAGUAAUUAAAUACUUUCUUUGAGUGAUAUAAGAGAAUAUUGAUUUUUGUAUUAUUUAUGAUUUUUUUCCUUAACAAUUUGAUAAGAGUGUUAAUUCUUAUUUUGUUUUAGAAGUGUGUAAAUUAUUCCACUUCUCUUAUUAUGCUUUAAAAGUUAUAAAAUAUCCACUUUUAAACUAAUAAUUUUUAUUAGUUUAACAUCAAUUUUUUUUUAAAGAAAGUAGAUUAUCUCUCUUUGUCAAAUUCUUCAUUAGAUACUAGGGGUUGUAGAUUAUUAUUUUUAAUUUAAAUUAUAAAUUUAUUAAAGUUUUUUAUCAUAGAAAUGGUAUAAAAAAUUAUUGAUGCUACUCUUUGCAAAAAUAAGUAUAGAUUUGCUAUAAUUAUAAAUUUUUAUAAGUUUAUUAAGAGUCUUAAGAUAGAAAUUUUAUAUAUUAUUAUUAGCAACAAUAAAAGUACUAUUUCCAUACCUAUAAAAGAAACUAAUAAUAAAAUCCAAUAUCUAUGCAAAAAAGUUAUGGAAUUAAAAAAAAACAAAUAGAUUAAUCUCUUUGAUGGAUAUACAUAUUUGUGCCUAUACUUACCUAGAUAAUAUGAAUAGGUAGAAGAAGAUAAAAGUAGAUAAUUUUGAUAAUGUCUUAUAGUGAAUCUUCUUACAAGCUUUUUAAAAACUUUAUAGAUGUAGUUUCACAUUUAUAUGUGUUUAAAGGUGAUUAGUAGGUUGAAUACUUGGCCAACAAAUUAGCCAUGUAUUGUACAUGUUAGUAGCUUAUGAUUCAAGCUAAUCAUAUAUUACACAUAUAACAAACUUGUCUUAUAAGUUAAGCGAUAUGUCUCAUAAAUUAGACACAUGUUACAGGUCCUAUAGAAUAUCACCAUGUAAUUCUUAGUUAUAUAUAUAUAUAUAUAUAUAUAUAUAUAUAUAAGAGUGAAGUUUUUUUUAGAAAUAGCAUUUUAGUUUUUUUUUAUAGUUUUUUUAUAGUUUUUAUUUUAUUUUAUUAUUAUUAUUUUUUAUGUAUAUACUUUCUUACUUCAAUCUUAUCAACUUUUGUUUAAAAAGACUCUCUUAUUUAUUUGCCUUCACUAAGUUUUUUUCUUUGAUUGAUUAAAAAGAGUAUACUUAUAAUAUCAAAGUAUUUUUUUUUUUUUUUUUGAUCAAGAGUGGAUUAUCCCUUUUUUUUUUUGUUGAUAAGACAUAAGCAUAUUAAAAAUUAGAGAUUAACUUUUUUUAAAUUAAUAUUAUUUUUACCAUAUUUUUUUAUUCUCAAAACUUCUCUUUUACUAGUCUUAAGUAAUAUUUAAACAUCUUCUAUUAUUUAAUAUUACUAUGAUAAGGCUUAUUUAAAUAAAGAAUGUAAUAGUACAAAUACAAGAGCAAUUGAAGGAAUUAUUGCUUGCAAUGCAUCAAUUCAAUUUAUUACUAUAAAAAGUAAUAAAAUCAACAAGAAGUGAAGAUAUAGAAAUGAUUGGAGCUGCUUCAAUAUCUACAUCAAAUCAUGUUACUUCUCAUAUGAUAGAAUAUAUUCAAGUAUUAAAAAACCAAAAAUUAUGUUGUAUAAGAAUUUUGAUGGUACAAGAUUAAAAUUUUGAGGAUUCAUUAAUCAAGUAUAAUUAGUGAUUGAACUUCAACCUCAAAGCUAUCGAAUUCUAAGAUCACAAGUAAAGUUUAUUGAAAUACUACUUUCAAGUUCUAUAUUAUUAUGAUUUUUAUCUUUUUUUGAAUAAUAUGAUCUAAUAUUAGAUACUUUUGAUACUUUUUUGAUAGAAUUUUGAUCCAUGUAUAAAAAACAUAAUAGAAUUUGUAUUACAACUAAUAAAAUCUAUAUUUUGUGUCAAAAAAAUUAAUCUAUAAUAUUAUUUGGUUUAUAAUUUUGACAACUUGAGACUAAUAUCAAGUAUCAAGGACAUGAAUUUCAAAGGAAAAAAUAUUCAAUAUACUCUUGUGUCACUUAAAAGAACUAGAAAGUUAAAGAUGAUAUAAUAUUAAACUAAAAUGGUGGUUGCCAAAAACAAGAAGACUAAAAACUCUUGAAAUAAGACUAAGGACUAAAAAGGCCAUGACAAGAGUGAAGAAUGCUUCACUCUUGCCUCCAUAUAUACUCUUAACUAGGAAUUAUAUGGCAAUAUCCUAUAGGACCUCUAAAACGUCUUAACUUUGUAAGAUAUAUUACAAGGCAAGUUUUUCAUAUGUAUACCACAUAUUUAGCUUGUUUUGUAAACUACCAACAUGUGGUUAAUUUAUUGACCAAGUAUUUAAUCCACCAAUCAUUUAUAAAUACAUAUAAAAUCAAAGUAGCAUCUACAAAGCUUCUAAGAAGCUUCUCUAGAAGAUAUUAUGAAAUUAAUAUACUUUUAUUUAUUUUUACCUACUUCUAUCUAAUUAUAUAAGUAAUUAUUAGAAUAUGUAUGUAUAUUCAUGACAUUACUUCUCCUACUAGGGAUAAAUUUCUUAAGGAGUGGCCAUCAUAUCUGGAUGAAAUUUAAGAUAUGAUAAAUCAUAUUUGCCACAUACUCUGAUCUUUGUUCUCUUCAAAGAUGGUUGAUAGAUCCUCUCAGCCAUUGAUAAUGUUCCAUACUAGUGAAAAAAAUACCACCUUGUUAUUUGAUCAUUGUUGAGGUCUUUAUAACUUCUUUCAAAUAAAAUAUUUGUGACACCAUCAAGAGUUGUUCUUAUCUCUAAUAAAAUCACCAAAUAUCGAGAGUCUCUUCCAAAGUCAUGAUAUCAAAUACAUUCUAUCAUGUCAUCUAUCUAAAGAAGGACAUGUUGUUCUUGAGGAUCUUCAUCUUGAUUAUGUUGACUUGAAGAUUGUGACAAUUAUAAUAUCUCAUUUGAUAAUUUGGCAAGUGAAAGUUUUUGGAUUGAAUCUAUUAGUUGUUGACUCUCCAUAUCUUUAGAGUUACAAAUACACAAAAGCUAUAAAAAAAGAUAAAAAGUAGAAUAUUUUCUUCUUUGGAUCUUGUUUCUUUUACAACAAAGAUUUGCUAUUCUUCAUCUUAAUUGUAAUGGAUGUUGUUGAUAAAAAGCUUCAACUUUCUUUGCUCUAUUUGUAAGUUUCUUUGCUGGCUUCCAUGUGUAUUUACUAAUUUUAUAUCCAUACCAAUAAACAAGAUAUUUCAACUUAUUUUGGCAUCGUCUUGAAUCUAAGACUUCUUCCACUUUAAAUUCUUGAUUAUUAUCUACUUCUAUAAGAGGAGGGGGCAUUUGUCUUUUUCUUGAGAUAUUCACUAUCUUAGAAAUAUCUUAGCUAUUUCUUUAUUUAUGAUAAAUUUUGUACAUGAUACAAAAUAUGCCAUUGUGGUAAAAAUGAUCUAUUACUACAAAUAUAAAAUCAUAUGAAUAUGGAACUGAAAGAUCCAUGAUAAAAUCCAUAGAAAUGGAAGAUCAUGUUUGUUCUAAAAUAGGUAAUGGCUAAAAAAGUCCAUAAAAUCGAUGGUAUAGAGUUUUGGAUCUUAAACAAAUAUAGCAUGAUUGUAAAAAGUCUUUGACUACCUUUCAAAUUUGAAGCGACUAAAAAUCUCUUGAUAUUAGCUCCAAAAUCUUAUUGUAUCCAAAAUAUCUGGUUGCUAGAAAAUUAUGACAAGUUUGAAGAAUAUGUAAUUUUACUCUACCUUUUGGAAUGUACAAUCAUCCCUUGAAAUAGAAUAGCUUGUUCUUAAACUCAAACUUAAAAGUAUCAUAAGAUUUAGAAGAAUUAUUCUUAAUAUCAUGAAUAAGAGAAUUAGACAACAUACUUAAUUGAAUUUGUUUGACAAAGAUUGAAUCAAUAAUCAAUGUUGAUUUUAUUUCUCAAAGGUGAAAAUACUCUGACUUCAAGAAAAUCAUUCUUUGUUGAUUUAAAGAUGCAUUUCUUUCUUUUGGUGCUAGAUAAGAACAUCUAAAAAAGAUGUUCAACAAACCUUGUUGUUUUUUGAGUCGUUUAAUAAACUUGAAAUCAAAUCUUGAUAAAAACAUGCUCCAAUAAACUUGGCAACAAUUCAAAAUACAUGCCAAUAUGAAAUACUUAAAAUUCUUGUGAUUUGUUUAUAUGAUGAUUGGAUUUCACGUGCUUUUUAGAUAAUGAUGCCAUUCUUAAAAUGAAUCCACAAUUAUAAGGAGCUUUUUGUUAUAUAUUUCAUAAUUAAUCUUAAUUAUUGAAUUUUUUUUAGAAUAAAAAGUUAUUAGAUGGAAUUUAUCAUCUGCUUCUAUUUGUGAUAAUAUUGCACUUAAGACAAAGUUUGAUGUAUCUAUUUCUAUGAGAAAUGCCUUAAAGAAGUCAACACAAUAUAAAAUUGGUGUAGAAAUAAACUUUUUAAAGCAUCAAAGAAUGCUUUGGCUUCUUUACUCUAUCCAAAUUUGUCUUUACAAGUCAAAGGUGUAACUAAAGAUACAAUUUGAAAAAAAUUCUUGAUGAAGAUUUGAUAGUAAUUGACAAAGUCUAAAAAGCAUUGCACAUCUUUUAAUGAUCUUGAAAUCUUCCAAUCCAUAAUAGUUUGAAUCUGCUUUGGAUCCAUUAUUAGCCUUUUGUUGAAAAUGAUGUAUCUUAAGAAGUUAACUUGAGUAGUAUAGAAUAUAUAUUUUUCUAACUUUAUAAAUAAUUUUGUAUCUUUAAAUUUUUGUAAUACAUGACAAAUAUGAACUUCAUGCUCUUCUAUAUUCUUAGAGUAGAUUAAGUUAUCAUGUAAAUAAUAGAUAACAAAAUCAUCAAGAAAUUCACAAAUUACAUCAUUCAUUAGAUGUUGAAAAGUGGCUGGUGCAUUUGUGAGUCCAAAAAGCAUGACAUUAUAUUAAAAAUAUCCAUACCUAGUUUAAAAUGUAGUUUCCCAUUCAUUUCCUUCUUUAAUGUGUAUUAAAUUAUAUGCUCAUUGUAGAUCUAUUUUUGUAUAAAUCUUUACUUGAUUGAGUUGAUCAAGAAGUAAUAAAAUCAAAGGUAAAGGACAUCUAUUCUUGAUAGUGAUCUUAUUGAGUCCUUGAUAGUCUAUAUACAUUCAUAAAGAUCCAUCUUUUUUCUUUAGAAAUCAGAUAAGAGUUCCAACUAGAAAUUUUAAAAUGGCAUAUGAAAUUUUUAGCCAAGUUUUUAUUAAUAUAUUCCUUAAGUAAAAUCAAUUCGUUUUGCGAUAAGCUAUAGAUUGGUACAGAUAGUGGUUGAGCUUCUUCUUGAAGAUUGAUGGAACAAUCAUAAAGACAAUGCUCUGAAAGAACAUUUGCAUUUUUCUUUUCAGAAACAUCUUGAAAAUCUUGAUACUAGUUAGGAAUAUUAUUUGACAUCUUUUUAUCAUAAAAAAUAAACAUGGCAUAUAUAGCAAAAGAUAACCCUUCUUUUGCGGCAUGUAUGAAAGCUCUUGCACCUACUAGUAAAGAUUUGGAUGUAAUAGACUUAUGUAUUUUUACUUGAUUAAUGGGAUUUUGGAUUAAACUAUCAAAAAAAUUAAGGUUACAAGAAAUCUAAUCUAUUUGAAGAUUAUAUUUUUUUAACCAAGAUAAUUCUAAAAUAAUGAGAUUAGAUAGAGAUCUUAUUACGUUAAAUAUUAUUAUAUUAUUAUGAUUUUUAAUUAUUAUAUCUAAAGGAAUAAUCUCAUACGUAAUAUCUGUAGAAGAUAGUACACAACUAUCUAUGACUUCUACAUGUAUAGAUACAGUUUUUUUGCCUAAUAAUAUUUCUUAUUUUAUAACAAAAUCUUUAUUUUAAAAAUAGAUUGAGGCUCUUGAAUCUAAUAAAAUUAAGACUUUGUAAUUUUUUGGUCCUAAAUAAACUUUUAAUAUAAAAAAAUGAUGAGUUUGAGGAGAGAAUAGAACCUUUAUUAGGAAUUAUAUAAGAUUUUAGCCAAAUAAUUUUAAUAAUCAAUUAUUGUAUGCAAUGGCUUGAGUAAUUAAUUAUUUGAAAGAUUUUAUCUUUGGUAUUAUCAAUAACAAAUCUUUGACAUUAUCCUUCAAUUCAUAUUGAAAUUGAUUGAUAAGGGCUUUGUCAUUCCAAUCCACAUUGCAAAUGAGGUUUUGGAAUUUAGUAGCAUAUAUGGUAUAAAAUAGGAUUGGUCUAUGUCAAGUAUUCAAAACUCUUUUAAUCCAUAAUAAUAUAAAACUUCAUUACAAAAUAGCACCAAAAUGGACUAGAACAAAACUGAAUUAAACUUAAACAAAUAAGACACAAAAGAUAAAACUAAGAAACUAGAAUUAAAAAAAAACAAAACAAAAUAGGAAGAUACAAAAUCAAAUUUUAUUAAGAGAAAGGAUUUAAAGCAAUACCUUACUAGAUGCCCCAAAAGAUCCUAGUUAGUCAUAUUUAUACUUUAUUCUAUGACCUUGGACUUUCUAAAAUAUUCUCAAAUGAUGGACUCCACUUAAAUAACUGCCUUAAAUUCCUUCUAAUUUUUUUUAUGAUGGGCCCUACUUAGAUAACCUUUCUAAAUUUUUUUUAGAAUGUUCUAUGAUGUAUCCUACCUGGCCUACUAAUCUAGCUCCAAUUCUAAAAACUUCCAUAACUUCUCAAAUAUGGUUCCAACUAUUUAUCCCUAUGUGUCCAUAAUACAAAUAUCUUAUCUAUAUUUUGUUAUAUGGUGGUUGACUGUGAUCUUUGUCGUAAAAAUAAAAGCUUUGUCUCUACUACUUUUUCUUGAUUACUUUCUUCAAAUGUGGCUAUAAAUACUUCUAUGAAUGAAUUCAAAUCAUAAAAAAGUCACGAAUCUUUUUCCAUUAAAAGGUGCAAAUCAAGAAAGAGCACUUCUUCAUAGAAGUGCACUUAUGAAUCUGAUUUGAAUAAAUCCAUCAAGGUAUUGAAAGGGAUGGUAUCUUAAAUAGAGUUUGACUUAUUACAAAAAUCCUUAAAAUUAUAAUCUUGUUCCAUCAAACUUCUCAAGCAUAUUAAUCCUUAUCCUUGUUAUAUUUGUAGAAGAAAAACUAGAUUUGAUUGUGAGGUCAAUCUACUUACUUUUUUUAAUUACAUAACUUCUUGAUAUAGAUUUUGAAUUUUUUUUUAUAUAUAUAUAGGAAUAGUACCUCUAUAAUUCAUAUUAAAAAUAUAUAAUAUUUUUAUUCUUAGAGUAUUGACAAGCUCAUAAAGACCUAUAAUAGUUGCAAAUUUAUUCUUACGUUUACUGAAAGUAGCAUUUAUGAUCUUUCUUUCUAUGGAUAAUUCAAAUAAAUUCAAAAAAUUAAAUUAAAAGAGGGUAAUUUAAAAUUUCUAAUAUCAAAUAAAAAUAUCCAUAAAGAGAAAUAAUCUACUUUCUUUUAGGAAAAGAUCAGUAUUAGAAAACAAAAUUGUUUGUUUAAAGGUGGAUAGUUUACAACCUUCAAAAUACAAGAAUAAAAGUGGGAUAAUCCACUCACUUCUAAAAGAAGAUAGAAAUAUUAAAUUAGCACUUUUGUCAAACUGUCAAGGACAUAAAUCUUGAAAAAAUAAAUCUUCAAUAUAUUCUUGUGUGACUAAAAAGAACUAAAAAAGUCACUUAAAGAUGAUUAAAUAUUGAACUAAAAUGGCUAUUGCCAAAAACAAGAAAACUAGAAAGUUUUGAAAUAAGACUAAGGACUAGAAAAGCCUUGACAUGAAUGAAGAAGGCUUCACUCUUGCCUCCAUAUAUACUCUUAACUAGAAACUAUAUGGCGAUAUUCUAUAAGACCUCAAAAAUUUGUUAUCUUUUCAAGAUACAUAUUUUAACUUGCAAAGUAAGUUUUUUUAUAUAUACGCCACAUAGUUAGCUUGUUUUGCAAGCUAUCAAAAUAUGAUUAACUUAUUGAUCAAGUUUUUAACCUAUUAAUCAACUACAAAUAUAUAUAAAGUCAAAGCAGUAUCUAUGAAGCUUUUAAAAAGAUUUUCUAGAAGGUAUUAUAAAAUUAAUAUACUUUUAUGUACUUUUAUAUAUUUCUAUUUAAUUAUAUAGGUAUUUAUUAGAAUAUAUAUGUAUAUCUAUGACAUCAAGUAGAAUGAUGUUGCACUCAUUAGUUAAUUUAUCAUAAAUUAUAAUAUAAUGUAAAGAAAUUGAUACUCAACUUAUUUGAUUCUCAAACAUUAAAUUAAGCAAUUGACUUUUUUGUGAAUUAAGAUAAUUGGAUUUUUAAAUUUUAAUUUGAAGGUUGUAUAAAUAGGCAAUAAUAUUAUUAUAAUUCAAUGACAAUGCCAGCAUCUUUUUAAUACAUACAUUCAAAAAUAAAAGAUAUAUAAAUUGAUGUGAUAUAUUUCAAAUUUCUUAUUGAAUAAGAAAAGAUUCAUUGUUAUUAAAAAUUAUUAUGUUUAUAUUAUGGAGAAAUUAAGCACAUUGUUCAACAUUAUUCAAAGUAGCAAUGUAAUUAUAAAAUAAAAAGUAUGGCUAUCAAAAAAGACAAUAUGUCAAAAAAUAAGUUUGUCCAGCUACAAUGGAGAUUGUGUGUUUGGAAUCUUAUAUAACAUUUAAUAAAAACCUUAUCUUUUUCUUAUAACCUUCUACUUUUUUUACAAUAGAUGUUAGUUUAGGACCUAAAUAUUAUAAAGCCUUGACUUUAUUAGCUUCAAGAGCCUCAUCUUGUUUUUUAGAUGAAGAAUUUAUUACAAGACAUAGUAUAUUUUUAAUGAAGAAAUCUUAAUUUAUUCUUAUAAAAGUCAUAGAUAAUCAUCAAUUAUCUUUUAGAGAUAUUAUUCAUGAAUUCUUUAGUAUAGAAGUAAUAAUUAAUGGUUAUAAUAGUUUUAUAUUAUUUAAUAUCAUUAAAUUUUCUUUUAAUUUAAUUAUUUUAGAUUUAUAGUGGUUAAAAAAAUACAAUUCUUAAACAAAUUGCAUUUCUUAUAGUCUUGACUUUUUUGAAAUUAUAACUAAGAGUGUUAUUAAGUAAGUAUAAAGUCAUAAAUUUAAUACAACCAAAUUUAUAUUUAUAAGUACAAGAUCUUCUUUGCAUGCUACAAAAGAAAUUUCUCCUUGUGCUAUUUAUGCCACAUCUAUUUCUACUACUAGAAUGACUUCAAGUGGCAUUCUAAAUCAAUAUUAAGAUUAUUAAUUUAUUUUUGAGAAAAAAAUAUGAUUACUCUUUCAAAAUAUUAUUCUUAUGAUUGCUCAAUUAAACUUCAAAAGAAAAAUCAACCACCAUUUGGACCAAUCUAUAAUUUAUUAUAAAAUGAAUUGGCUAAAGUUAAGAAAUAUAUUGAAGAAAAUCUAUCUAAAAAUUUUAUAUGCUAUUCCAAAUCUCUAACAGGAUCUCUAUUUCUAUUUGUGAAAGAAAAGAUGAAUCAUUGGAGAUAUAUGUCAAUUAUUAAGGACUCAAUGAGAUUACCAUAAAAAAUAGUUACCAUCUACCUUUGAUAUCAAGACUUCUUGAUCAAUUGGAUUAAGCUAAGAUUUAUACAAAAAUAGAUUAUAAUAUCAAAAAAAACAUACAAUUUGAUGUAUAUCAAAUAAAGAGAUAAAAAAAGAUUAUAUAUUGAAUUAAGUAUAGAUAUUUUAAAUACAAUAUUAUGCAUUUUGGACCUAAAAAUAUACUUGCACCUUUUCAACAUCUAAUAAAUGAUAUCUUUUAAGAGUUUUUGGACAAUUUUAUUAUCUAUUAUUUAGACAAUAUUUUAAUCUAUUUUAAAAACAUUGAAAAAUAUGAACUUCAUGUUUGUUGUAUAUUGCAAAAACUAAAAGAUGUAGGACUCUAUGCUAAGAUACAUAAGUAUAUAUUUCACACUAUUCAAAUUAACUUUUUAGUAUAUAUCUUUUUAAAUGAUGGACUUACAAUAGGUCAUAAAUAAAAUUCAAACUAUCAUGGAUUAAAAGAUUUUAAAAAUAAUAAAAGAUAUUCAAUAUUUAUUAAAAUUUACUAAUUAUUAUCAAAUCUUUAUCAAUUUUUUUUAAAGUUAUAAUUCUACUUAUAUAUUUGACUUAUAAAGACAAACUUUAGUAGAAUUAAAAUCAAAAGCAAUAUUUGAAGCUUUAAAGAUAACUUUUGUUUGUAUAUCAAUCUUAUAUUGUGUCAAUUUUUUUGAGUAAUUUUUUUAUGAAAAUAGAUGUAUUGGACUUUUUUUUAAAUGUUGUAUUAUUAAAAAUAGGAAAAAAUGAUAAACUUCACCUAAUAGCAUUUCAUUCAAGAAUAUGUUUAGCAACCAAAAUCAACUACAAGAUCUAUAAGGAAGAACUUCUUGCAAUUGUAGAUUCAUUUCAAGAAUAGUACCAUUAUCUAAAAGGUACUUUUAGUCCAAUGACUAUGUAUAUGAAUUAUAAUUAUUUUAAAUAUUUUAUGUCAAUAUGUAUUUUGAAUCAUUGCUUAGUCUAUUAAAACAUGUCUUUGUCAAGAUUUAAAUUUAUAAUCACUUACUAGAUAAAAAAUAAUAAAUUUAUCAGAUAUCCUUUUUGGACAAUCUUAUCUUGCAUCUAAAGAAAGAAAUGUGGCUUUUGAUUAAAAACAAAUAUUUCUCUUGAAACUAAAGUAAUUUCAUUUUUAAGCAAUAAAAUUAAUGAUAAUUGUUGAUAUAAUUUUUUUCAAGCAAGUUCAAUCAAGUAUGUCUUCUAAUCAUCUUAUUUGUGAUAUUAAAGAUUUUUUUUUAAAAUCACAAGAUACUUCCAAGUUUAAAUUUAAAAACAAUCUAUUCUAUUUUAAGGAUUUCUUAUAUAUUCUAGAAGAUGAAGCAUGAUCAUAAGUUCUCUAAGUUCAUCACAAUUUUUGGAUAGUGGAAUAUUUUGGAUACAACAAGUUUUUGGAAUUAAUAUCCAAAAUUUUUAGUUGCAAAUAUAGAAGGCAAUCAAAGAUUUUUUACAAUCAUAUAAUAUUUAUUCAAGAUCAAAAACUCCUUAUUAUCAACCUUAUGGACUUCUUCAUCCAUUACUUAUUCUAAAACAACCAUGGUCUUUUAUUUCUAUGGAUUUUAUCACAAAUCUUUUAGUCUCAAGUUCUUAUGACUCUAUACUUGUAAUAGUAGCUUUUUUUACUAAGAUAGAACAUUUUGUACCAUGUACAAAAUCUAUCACAAGUGAACAAAAAAUUAAGCUUUUUCUAGACAAUAUAUAUUGCUAUUAUGGAUUGCUCAAAGAUAAAAUAUUAGAUAGGGAGAUUCAAUUUGUAUUAAGAUUUUAGAACCUCUUUUUAAGAUUCUAAAGGUAGACAUAAAACUAUCUUUGGCUUUCAAUCCUCAAAUUGAUGGACAAACAAAGUGCAUAAAUAAAGUUUUACAAUAGGAUUUGAAGUGUACCAUAAACUACCAAUAAGAUGAUUGAAUAAUUUUUUUCCAUUAAUAGAUUUUAUUUAUAAUAAUAUAAUAUAUUUUUUUAUUCAAUAAAUAUCUUUUUUUAGUAAUUAUGAUUUUUUUACUAUAAAAUAAUGAAUAUUCAAUGGAGAUUGUAUUCUAUCUAUUAUUUUUUAUUAUAAAUUCUUUGUAUUUUGUGACACUAAGAAGAUAGAAAAUCUUCAAUUGGCAAAUUCAACUCAAGAGCCAUAAUUUGUUGAAUUAUUAAAUAAAAUAUUAUAAUUAUUAUAGCCUUCAAGAUGAAAAAAUCAAGAUAAAGAUUUUUAAAAAUGACAUAUAUUAUUUGGCAAAUAGAUGGCAAGUUAUAAUAAAUUUGGUAUUAUGACAUUGAAAGAAACUUCCAAUAUUUGGUGAUUUUAUUAGAUGUAGAAAUAACUCCUAAUGAUCUAAUAAAUAUUUUAUUUAAAAAAAUUUAUAAAUAUUUUAAUAAUGAUUAAUUAACAAGGUGGUAUUCUUGCAUUGAAAUGAGACAUUAUUAAUAGCUAAGAAGACCUAUCAACUACCUUCAAAAGAAAAAAACAAUCAAAGUAUGUAAAAAAUAUAAUUUAUUGCAUCUUGAACUUCAUCAACAUGUAAUUAUUGCUCCUUUUGGAACUUAUUUCUAGAAAAAGAGAUAAUUUUAUUGAUAUAUAUAUUUAUUCUAAUAGUUACUUAGAUAAUAUUAAUGGAUAGAAGUAGAUUAAAAUAUAUUAAUUUAUAAUAUCUUCAAAAAAAACUUCUUACAAGCUUUAUAAAUAUAAUUUUAUUAUUAUAUAUAUCUAUAAUGAGUAAUAGGUUAGAAACAUGGCCAACAAGUUAGCCACAUGUUGUAUGUAUUAAUAGCUUUUGGUAUAAGUUAAUACUGUGGUUCAAGUAUAGAAAACUUAUAUUGCAAGUUAAGACAUGUAUCUUGUAAAUUGAAUACAUGCUAGAGGUCCUAUAGAAUGUCGCUACAUAGCUCUUAGGUAGAUAGUAUAUAUAGAGACAAGAAUGAGACCUUCUUCACUCUUGUUAACUUCUUUUUUGCUUCUAAUCUAGUUUUAAGGAUCUAUAAUUUUCUUAUCAUUUGGCAAUAGCCAUUCUAAUUUAUUUUUUAAUAUAUCUACUUUUUUAUUUCUAUUUUUUUAUCUUUUUUUUUUAAAAAGUUUUACUUCUUCAUUUAAUUUUUUUGAGUUCUUAUCCUUUAAAAUUCCAUGCCAUCAACCUUAUAGACUUUUUUAGCUAUUACCUAUUUUAAAAUAACCAUGGUCUUUUAUUUCUAUGGAUUUUAUGAUAGACUUUCCAGUCUUAGAUUCUUAUGACUUUAUAUUUGUGAUAGAAGAUCGUUUCACCAAAAUAACAUAUUUUAUAUUAUAUAUAGAAUCUAUCAUAAAUAAAGAACAACUAAGUUUUUUCUUAACAAUAUUUAUUAUUAUCAUGGAUUGCCUAAAGAUAUUAUAUCAAAUAAAGAAACUCAAUUUGUAUCAAGAUUUUAAAGAAGUCUUUUUAAAAUUUUAAAGAUAGAUAUAAACUAUCUUUGGCUUUCCAUCAUCAUAUUGAUAGACAAAUAAAGUACAUAAAUAAAGUUUUAAAGUAGUAUUUGAGGUGUACCAUCAAUUAUCAAUAAGAUGAUUGAAUAAUUCAUUUGGCAUUGGUAAAGUUUGCUUCUAACAACAUCGUACAUCCUUCUAUUAAAUUUUUUUUUUUAUUACUAAGUAUGAUUAUCAUCUAUAAUUUAAUACUUUUGACUAUAUAAAAUUUGAUAAUUCCAUAGCAAAAAAAAUGACAAAUUAUUUAUUUCAAAUACAUACAACAAUAAAGAUAUAUUUCUAAAAAAUAACUCAAGAAUGACAAAAGAUUAACUCAAAUGCCUAUUGUAAAGGAUAACGUCAAUUCCAUGUUGAUGAUAUGAUAUAGUUAUUUUAUUGUAAUAUCAAGAUUAUUUGCUCAUAUGAUAAGUUGGAUUACCAUAGAAUUAAAAUAUUUUCUAUAAUUUCUUAUUAAUUAUAUCUAUCACAAUCUAUGAAGAUCUAUUCCAUAUUUUAUAUGUCUCUUUUUUACAUUAUAAGAUAGUGAAUAUCUCAAAAAGAAAAAAAAUACCAUUGUCUUCUAUAGAAAUAGAUAAUAAUCAAGAGUUUGAGAUAAAAAAGCCUUAAACUUGAAGUGGCACUAAUUUAAGUUAGAAUAUAUUAUUCAUUGAUAUAUAUAUAUAUAUAUUUGUGCAUUUACAUGGAAGCAAUAAAGAAUCUUGUAAAUAUAUUCUUUUUGAGUUACAAAACAAUGUUUUGAGGUUUUUUUUUGUUUUGAUUUAUGUCUUUGAUAGUUUGACAAUAGUGCUUAUUCAUUGUUCUUCUCUUAUUUUAGAAAUGAGUAGAUCACUCUUGUCCUAUUGUUAUAUUUUGAAGAUUGCAAACUAUCUACUUUUAAACAAAUAUUUUAUUUUUUUAACAUUGAUUUUUUCCUUAAAAAAAUUAAAUCAUCCUCUCUAUAAAAAAAUUUAUGUAACAUUAAAUGUAGCACAUUACCUUCCUUUAAUUUGACUUGUGGAUUUACUAAGUUGUUUAAAAUAGAAGAAAAAAUCAUAGAUGCUAUACUUAUAGAAAGUGAGAAUAGAUUUAUAACUAUUACAGAUUUUCACAAGCUUGUCAAUAUUCUUAAGGUGGAAAUUUUAUAUAUCAUCAAUACCAACUACAAAAUUAUUAUUAUUACACCUAUGGAAGAAGUUUAGAAUCUAUACUAAGAAGUUGUGGAAUUAAGUGAAGCAAAUAGAUCAGUUUGACAAUCAAAUUCAAAAAGACUCACUUCUACAAGUACAAGAGAAGUAAGGAUUAAUAUGCCUGAAAAGUUUGGUAGAAGAAGAUCAAAAUUUGAAGAUUUUUGCAACAAUUCAAGUUCUAUUUAAAGUUGCAUUCUUCCCAAUAUCUUGAUGGAUUUACUCAAGUUAAGUUCAUUCAUGCACUUCUAUUUGGAAGUGCUCUCUCUUGAUUUGUACCUUUGAUGGAAAAAGAUUCACGACUCUUUUAUGAUUUGAAUUCAUUCCUAAAAGUAUUUAUAGUGAUAUUUGGAAAAAUUGAUCAAGAAAAAAUAGCAAAGACUAAGCUCUUAUCUUUAUAAUAAGAACCAUAAUCAAUACCAUAUAUGUUAUUGAAUUAAAAAACCUUGCUUGUAACAUAGAUUGGAAUGACAAAGCCCUUAUCAAUCAUAUUUAAUAUGGAUUGAAGGAUAACAUCAAAGAUUUAUUAUUAACAAUAUCAAAAGUACAUUCUUUGAAAGAAUUUAUUGCUCUAGCUCUUGUAUGCAACAAAUGACUAUUUGAAUAGUGUCAAGGAUAAAGAUUUGGCUAGAGAGGAAUAAGUCAAAUAUUGAUGGUAUCAUAUUACAUGUAUUUUUGCUUAAAAAUGCAUUGAAUACCUAAUUAUAGAAGGUAAGUAGAAAUGCAACAAUAAUCCUAUUAAAUCUAAUAAGAUCUUAAAUAAAUUUUAAAUAAAUCUUAGUAAUCAUAAUCAAACUUUGAUCAAUUUAAAAUAAAUUUAAAAGAAGUUAUAAAACCUUAAUUUAUUUCUUAAUUGAACCUUAAUCAAAGUUUUUCUUUUAUAGUCCUAAACUGAUCUCAAAAACAAAAAUCACAAGAAUUAUUUAAAAAAUAUAAAAAUAAACCUUUAAAAGAAUAAUAAUAAUUUUAAAAAAUAUAUUAGAAAUAAAUUUUUUUAAAGAAUCAAUAAAGAAUCGUAAAUAAAUAUUAAAAAUAAAAUAUUAAAUAAAUCUGAAUCAUACUAUAAUUUAAUCCUAGUUAAAAUCCUAAUGAACCUUAAUCAAAUCUUAGAUCAAACCUUAAUUUAUUUCUUAGUUGAACCUUAAUCAAUUCCUAAAUAAAAUCUUAAUUAAAAAUCCAAUUGAACCUUAAUCAAAUCCUAAGUCAAAUCUAAAAUAAAAUCCUAAUGAAUUUCUAAAUUCUAAACAAAUCCUAAAUCAAAUCCUAAGUAAAUCCUAAUCAAAUUCUAAAUCUUAAAUAAACUCUUAAUAAAUCUUAAAGCAAAUUAAAACUACAACAAUUAAUAAUCAAACCAUUGAUAUUAACUUAAUUUUUAUAUACGUCUUAAUAAAUUAAUUAAAAAUAAGCAAAAAUAAAGAUGAAAUUGAUCAUAUCUACCAAUUAAAAAAAUACAAUAUAAUCUAAUUAAGUCUUAGGUGGCCUUCUAUUCCAAUCUAAAUAUUAAAAUUCUAGUACCAAUAUCUCCUUCUUCAUCUGUUAAGGACAAGAACUCGAUAAAAAAGAAAUUCAGACAAAUGAGCCUUCAUUCAAAGAAAGGUAAUAAAAUAUAAAUAAACAAGUAUGUAUAUUGAAAAAGAAACUGGAAUGGCUAUUGCCAAAAGACAAGAAAACUAGAGAUCCUUGAAACUAGACUAGAAGCAAGAAAAGAGUUGACAAGAGUGAAGAAGGCUUCACUCUUGUUUCUAUAUAUACUAUCUAACUAGGGGCUACAUGGCGACGUUCUAUAGGACCUCCAAUAUGUAUUGACUUUGUAGGACACAUGCUUUGACUUACAAGGCAAGUUUUUCUAUGUGUGGGCCACAUAGUUAGCUUGAUCUUCAAGCUAACAACAUGUGUGGCACAUGGUCAACUUGUUGACCACGUUUCUAAUCCAAAAAGUCAAUUAAAGAUACCUAUGAAGUCAAAGCAGUAUCUAUGAAGCUUCUAAGAAGCUUCUAUAUUAAAUACUAUAGAAUUAAUUUACUUUUACCUACUUUUACUUACUUCCACUUAUUUGUAUAUGUAAUUACUAGCUUACAUGAGUAUGUUUGUGAUAUUACCCCCUCUUCUAGAGACGAGUUCCACAAAGAGCCGUCAUCAUAUGUUGAGGAAAUCUAUGAUGCGAUGAAUUAUAUUCGCCACAUACUUUGAUCUUUGUUCUCUUCGAAGAUGAUUGAUAGGGCCUCUCAACCAUCGGUAGUGUCCCAUACCAGGGCGGGAAGACCACCCAAUUAUUUGAUCAUUGUUGAGGCCUUCAUAACUUUCUUCGAAUAGAACAUUUGGAACACCAUCAGGAGUUGUUCCUACCUCUAGCAAAAUCACCAAACAUCAAGAGUCCCUUUCCAAAUCAUGAUACCAAAUGCGUUGUAUCUUGCCAUCUAUUCGAGGAAGAACAUGUCAUUCUUGAAGAUCUUCAUCUCGAUUGCGUCGUCUUGAAGGUUGUGACAAUCGUAAAGUCUCAUCCAGCAGGUCAGCAAAUGAAGGCUUUUGAGUCGAAUCCGUUGGUUGUUGGUUCUCCAUCUCCUAAGCAUCACAACUACAAAGAAGCUACGAACAAGGAUUGAAAGUAGAAUGUUAUCUUGUCUAGAUAUUAUUUCUUUUAUAAAGAAGGUUUUUAUCUCGAUUUUGAUGGAUGUCGUUGAUGAAAAGCCUCAACCGCCUUUGCUGCAUUUACAAGAUUUUCUAUUGGCUCCCAGGUGCGUUGUCGUGUUGUGACAUGACUAUAUGGUGAAAAUAUGACAAAAAAAAUGAUAUUUUAAUUAAUAUUCUAUUAUCAUGGUUCAACAAGCAUUCAAUAUAUUUUACAAGGCUUUUUAUAAAAGCCUCUAAUCCUAUUUUCUUCACUUAAUAGCUAGUAGAUAAAAACUAGUUAGUAAUUUUACCUUCUAGGUUGUAGUAACUUUUUUAUUGCCUUAGAAAGGCCAUAAAAUGAUAAAAAAAGGAUAAAAAGGAUAAUUUAUUAGCAUGGUUGAUACUAGGGUUAAGUUGAGGGUAGGAUCGGGCUAUAAAACCACUAGGAUAGAUUAGAUUGAUAUCCGGGGGUCGGCCGGAUAUGAGACAGGGUCGAAAUCCGACCUCCAGCCACUAAAACGGCCACCUAGGACAAAAUAUGGGGGGUUUUUUCAGAUCGGGUUUUUGGAUCGAAGAGCUAGCUUCAAGUUCUUUUCAAGGUUACUAGUUUGGUUUCAUUAGGAUUUGUGAAGAGAGAGCAAUCGCUGCUCAAAGUCAAUGUUUAUUUUGGUAUUUCGGAUUUUAUAUAAAACAUUGAUGGUUUGCAUUCUCAAUCGGUUUGUGCAAGUCGUCUAGCAUCUAUGGGUCAAAAUUUGGUAUUGUCUGGAUAGUUGGGUGUGCUAAGUGUACACAAAUUUUUUUGUUAAUCUAACGAUGCAAUUAAGAGAUAUCUGGAUUUUAGUACAAAGGGUUGUCGGAAGUUGGCAGUCUAGGGUUGGAUAGGGUUUUUGUGAUAUCUGAAGAUCUACUAGUUGGAUCGAUAUAAUUUUUGGCUUAAUAAUAGAAGAUUUGGAGAUCAAGCGGCUAUUCAAUUUUGAGCUGGAGUUAACGGUUGACAAAGGAGAAAACACUUCUGGAAUUUCUACAUCAAAUUUCAAGGUUGCGGCCGAGUGUCAUCAGUGCGGUUUUUGGGCGUUUUCUUGCAAUUUGUAAGUUGGGUUGGGCUGAAAUUUUUUGAGCAUAUAGAAGGCUUAUACUGGUAUUUGAGUGCAAAAUUUCACACUAAGUGGACGGUUGGAUCAAAAGUUACAGCUUGUCAAAGCUCACUGGCUAGGGUUAGGGCUUGUUAAGAAAAACAAAAACAACUUAAUUAUAAAAGAAAUAAAGCAAUUGGAAUAUUGUAUGGUUAAAAUGACUAUGAGGAGUGUUUUUAAAUACUUGAAAAUUGAUAUUUCAAUUAUAUUCUUCAUACAUGGAUAAAAUCUAUUAGGGUUUCUUUGUUAUUUGCAAAAACAACUAUACCUUCCACAGCCAGAUACCCAAUGUAUUCCCGAACAAGACAACACGUAAUACGACAUAAGUGGUGAACUCGACGUGAACGUUUGGGGUGGAAGGUAUUGGAUUUUGUAUGUGGUUAUUUGGAUUGAUGGUGCAAGAUGACAAGGUUGAUUUUAGAGUUUUUGGAAGACUUAGAGCUUUGGGGGAUAUUUUGAAAAGCAAUGGUGAUAUUUGGAUUAUUAUGGAGUAUAUUAUGGCUUUAUAGACAUCUUGGGGCAUUUUGAGGUAUCAUAAGUUAUUUAUUGGAACAUUUCAAGGAAUAUUUUUUUAAUAUUGUGGAAGAAAAUGGAAGAUAUUUCAAUGUACUCUUUGGAUAGGUUGAAUACUUUGGAUGGACCAAAUGUUAAAGAGUUUUUUGAGGCUUUUUGUAUAUUCAUGGAAGAACAACAAAAGAUACAAGCAAUUGAAAGGGAUAUCACAAAGGCAUUACAAAGAAUUUUCAACAAAUUUGGGAAGUUUAACGGAUGUAACAUCACUAAGUUUUUACAAGUUUAUACAUGUGAGAUGGAGACAUGCCAAAUCCCUGAGGCAAAGAUGAUUUUAAGCUUUUAUUUGGCUAUUGAACUUGGGAUUCAUAAAAAGGUGAAGAGAUUACUUGAAAGGGGUGUGGAGACAUGGUCAAAAUUUCAAGAACUUUUGAAGAAAGAAUUUAUUGAUGCAAAUGAGGAUAAGAUUAUCAAGCGACAGUUUUUGGAUUGGAUAGAAUUACAACCAGGCACGCAUAUGGAUCUUUAUGAAUUCUUGAAAGAAUUUGAAAAGAGGUUUUAUCAACUUUCAUCCUCAGAGAGACAGUCAUUGGAUGUUAUAAAAAUAGAAUUAUUUUUAAAUGGUCUUGAUGAUGCCAUGGGAGACAAACUUUUUAUACUUCUUGCAGAUGAGUCUAAGGAAAGUGGUUGUACUAACAAUUGGGAAGAAUUGAAAGAAGCAACAAUUCUUUUAGCAAAGCAACAAAGAGCACAAGCUAAAAGAGUUGGAGUAUGGUCUAAGAAAUCUUCUACUUUGGCUUCUAUAUCAUCUUUAUCAAUACAAGGGAUUAAUCUUGAAAAAAGAGAAAUGAAACAGCAACUAGAGGACUUCAAAGGAGGAGCCAAUUUUUUGCAAAUGAAAGAAAGUGGAUCUUUUAUCAAGGAUGGUGAAGGAAAGAACAAAGACUUUGAUCAAAUUAUUACUAUGGAAGGUCAAAAUAUCAAAAAAAUUGAAGGCAAUAUGGAACUCAAGGAUUUAGAAAUUAAUGACAAUAAAGAUGAAAAUUAUGGCUAUUCUACAUUAAAUAUGUUUAUGCAAGUGGAUGAUGGAAAUUUGGAUGGAACAUCUCAUGGUGGUAAAAAAAAUUAUGGUGAAAGUUGCAAGAUUUUUCAAGAACAUGAGGUUUCAUAAGGCUAUGAAAUUUUUCAAUAUUAUGAAGUAAUACAACAUAUUGAGAUAACAUAAGGUUAUGAUGUUUCACAAGGAUGAAUUUAAGAAGAAAUGAAGGAUGUUUUACAAGGAUACAUUCAAGAAGAUAUGAUAGAUAUUUCAUAAGAUAAUGUGGCGAAAGAAGAUUAUGGAAUCAAAGGUAAAGGUACUAAAUCAAUAGCUUUAAUCAAGUUAAUUGUGAGUACUAAUCUUUUGGACCAAGAUCAAGGUUACAUGGAUAAUGCACAUGUAUUGGGGGCACAAUUGGAUUUUGAUAAGAAAAAGAUUCAUCAUGAAGUGUGGAAUUCAAAGGUUGAAAAUCUAAAAAAUCUUCAAAUAUAAAGACAUGGGUAAUGGAUUUAAGGAUUAUAUGGACGUCUUAAAUCAAGCAUGGAAUCAAAGGAACAAGAAAAAAGAUGCAAGCAAGAUGUAUGUGGCCAUAUGGAAGAAGUUUCAAUUAAAUCUUUCCAUUUCAAAAUUUGUACCUCGCCAAUGGUUUGGUCAUGUACAAAGUUGGAUGUUUCCAAUUUACUUGUACAAGAUGGAUACAUGGAUUUUUGGUAUUGGAUAAAGAAUAAUGGUGUACUGAAUUUGGCACAAACCGGAGGAUGUGCAGGUUAAGAGGGGGUGGAUGUUGUGUUGUGACACGACUAUAUGGUGAAAAUAUGACAAAAAAAAUGAUAUUUUAAUUAAUAUUCUAUUAUCAUGGUUCAACAAGCAUUCAAUAUAUUUUACAAGGCUUUUUAUAAAAGCCUCUAAUCCUAUUUUCUUCACUUAAUAGCUAGUAGAUAAAAACUAGUUAGUAAUUUUACCUUCUACGCUGUAGUAACUUUUUUAUUGCCUUAGAAAGGCCAUAAAAUGAUAAAAAAAGGAUAAAAAGGAUAAUUUAUUAGCAUGGUUGAUACUAGGGUUAAGUUGAGGGUAGGAUCGGGCUAUAAAACCACUAGGAUAGAUUAGAUUGAUAUCCGGGGGUCGGCCGGAUAUGAGACAGGGUCGAAAUCCGACCUCCAGCCACUAAAACGGCCACCUAAGACAAAAUACGGGGGGUUUUUUCAGAUCGGGUUUUUGGAUCAAAGAGCUAGCUUCAAGCUCUUUUCAAGGUCAUUAGUUUGAUUUCAUUAGGAUUUGUGAAGAGAGAGCAAUCGCUGCUCAAAGUCAAUGUUUAUUUUGGUGUUUCGGAUUUUAUAUAAAACAUUGAUGGUUUGCAUUCUCAAUCGGUUUGUGCAAGUCGUCUAGCAUCUAUGGGUCAAAAUUUGGUAUUGUCUGGAUAGUUGGGUGUGCUAAGUGUACACAAAUUUUUUUGUUAAUCUAACGAUGCAAUCAAGAGAUAUCUGGAUUUUAGUACAAAGGGUUGUCGGAAGUUGGCAGUCUAGGGUUGGAUAGGGUUUUUGUGAUAUCUGAAGAUCUACUAGUUGGAUCGACGUAAUUUUUGGCUUAAUAAUAGAAGAUUUGGAGAUCAAGCGGCUAUUCAAUUUUGAGCUGGAGUUAACGGUUGACAAAGGAGAAAACACUUCUAGAAUUUCUACAUCAAAUUUCAAGGUUGCGGCCGAGUGUCAUCAGUGCGGUUUUUGGGCGUUUUCUUGCAAUCUGUAAGUUGGGUUGGGCUGAAAUUUUUUGAGCACAUAGAAGGCUUAUACUGGUAUUUGAGUGCAAAAUUUCACACUAAGUGGACGGUUGGAUCAAAAGUUACAGCUUGUCAAAGCUCAUUGGCUAGGGUUAGGGCUUGUUAAGAAAAACAAAAACAACUUAAUUAUAAAAGAAAUAAAGCAAUUGGAAUAUUGUAUGGUUAAAAUGACUAUGAGGAGUGUUUUUAAAUACUUGAAAAUUGAUAUUUCAAUUAUAUUCUUCAUACAUGGAUAAAAUCUAUUAGGGUUUCUUUGUUAUUUGCAAAAACAACUAUACCUUCCACAGCCAGAUACCCAAUGUAUUCCCGAACAAGACAACACGUAAUACGACAACGUUCACUAAUAUCAUAUCCUUGCCAAUGGACAAGACAUUCUAAUUUAUUUUGGCACCGCCUUGAAUCUAAAACUUCUUCUACUUCAAACUCUUCAUUAUUAUCUACUUCUAUAGGAGGAGGUGGAGCUUGUCAUCUUCUUGGUAUGUCUACUGUCUUGUAUAGUUCAAGAAGAGAUACGUGGAAUACUGGAUGGAUUUUCAUUGACUCCGAUAGAUGUAGACGAUAUGCAAUUGGAUUGAUUUGUACAAAAAUAGAAAAUGGUCCUAGCCUUGGAUAGUCCAACUUGUGACAAAGACGAGUGGUCUUGAUAUUAUGACGAAGAAGCCAUACCUUAUCACCUAAGACGAAUGAUAGUUGUUCCUUUUGAUAGACAUCCGUAUUGAUCUUUUGUUGUUCUUGAGCCUCUUUUAACUGCGCCUUCAUUGUUGCAUGUAGCUCUUAUAAAUGAGUCGCCAAAUCUUUUGUAGUAGGAUUAUCAACUUUUGAAAAGUCAAAAGUAUCAAGUCGUAGAUGAUAACCAUAAUUAGUAAAGAAAGGUGUUUGUUUUGUAGAAGAAUGUACCGUGUUAUUGUAAGCAAACUCUACCAAUGGCAAAAGAGUUGUCCAAUCAUCUUGUUGGUAAUUAAUGGUACAUCUUAAAUAUUGCUCCAAAACUUGAUUAACACGCUCCGUUUGUCCAUCAGUUUGAGGAUGGAAUGCUGAAGAUAGUUUUAUAUCCACUUUAAAAAUCUUGAAAAGAGUCCGCCAAAAUCUUGAUACAAAUUGAGUUCCCUUAUCUGAUAUAAUAUCCUUGGGUAAUCCAUGAUAGCGAUAGAUAUUGUCAAGAAAGAGCUUAGUUGUUUCUUCACCUGUGAUACAUUUUAUACGUGGUACAAAAUGUGCGAUCUUGGUAAAACAAUCUACUAUCACGAAUAUAGAGUCAUAAGAACUUGAGAUUGGAAGAUCCGUAAUGAAGUCCAUAGAAACAGAAGACCAUGGUUGUUUUGGAAUGGGUAAUGGCUGAAGAAGUCCAAAAGGUCGAUGACGAGGAGUUUUUGAUCUUGAGCAAACAUCACAUGAUUGUACAAAAUCUUUGACUGCCUUCCAUAUUUGAGGCCACCAAAAAUGCCUAGAUAUCAGCUCCAAAGUCUUAUUAUAUCCAAAAUGUCUUACUGCUGGAAAGUCGUGAUGAGCUUGAAGAAUACGUAAACGUGCUUCUCCUUUUGGAAUAUAUAGGCAUCCUUCGAAAUAGAGUAGGUUGUUCUUGAAUUGAAAUUAAGAGGGAUCAUGAGAUUUAGAAGAAUUAUUCUUAAUAUCAUGAACUAGAGGGUCUAAAGACAUACUUAAUUGGACUAACUUAAAAAAAGUUAAAUCAACAGUCAAUGUUGAUUUUAUUGCUCAAAGAUAAAAUUGCUCCGGCUUCAAGAAAAGCGUUCUUUGUUGCUCAAAAGCUGCAUCUCCUUCUUUUGGUGCAAGAUAAGAACGUCUAGACAAGGCAUUGGACAAACCUUGUUGUUUUCCUGGUCGAUAAGUGAUGAUGAACUCGAAUCUUGAUAAAGACAUGCUUCAACGAGCUUGAUAACAAUUUAAUAUGCAUGCUGACAUAAAAUACUCAAGGUUCUUGUGAUCCGUAUAUACGGUGAUUGGAUUGGAAGCGCCUUCUAGAUAAUGAUGCCUUUCUUGAAAAGAAUCUACGAUUGCAAGAAGUUCUUUGUCGUGGAUCUCAUAAUUAAUUUCUGCUACUGAGAAUUUUCUUGAAUGAAAGGCUACUAGAUGAAGUUUGUCCUCUGUUCCCAUUUGUGAUAAAACCACAUCCAGAGCAAAGUCUGAUGCAUCUAUUUCCAUAGAGAAUGCUUUGGAAAAAUCAACACAAUACAAGAUUGGUGCAGAAACAAACGUUGUCUUCAAAGAUUCAAAAGCAACUUCUGCUUCUUGAUUCCAUUGGAGUUUGGCUUUACAAGUCAAACAUGUGACAGGAGCUGCAAGUCGAGAGAAGUCCUUCAUGAAGAUUCGAUAGUAGUUGGCAAAUUCCAAAAAACAUUAGACAUCUCUUACCGUUUUUAGGAUCUUCCAAUCUAUAAUAGUUUGAACUUUCUUAGGAUCCAUCAUAAGUCCAUCAUUUGAAAUGAUGUAACCUAAGAAAUCAACUUGAGUAGUAUAGAAUAUACACUUUUCUAUCUUGGCAUAGAAUCCUACAUCUCUUAAUUUUUGUAAUACAUGACAAACAUGAAGUUCAUGUUCUUCUGGAUUUUUAGAAUAGAUCAAGAUGUCGUCUAGAUAACAGACCACAAAAUCGUCUAAAAAUUCUCGAAAAAUAUCAUUCAUUAGAUGUUGAAAAGCUGCUGGUGCAUUUGUAAGUCCAAAAGGCAUGACAUUGUAUUCAAAAUGUCCAUACCUAGUUCAAAAUGCAGUCUUCCAUUCAACUCCUUCUUUGAUGAGUACUAGAUUGUAUGCUCCCGAGAGAUCUAUUUUUGUAUAGAUCUUAGCUUGAUUCAACUGAUCAAGAAGUUCAGAUAUUAAAGGUAGUGGAUACCUGUUCUUGAUAGUAAUCUUGUUGAGUCUUCGAUAAUCAACACACAUCCGCAAUGAUCCAUCUUUUUUCUUCACAAAUAGAAUUGGAGCUCCUGCCACAAAUUUAGAAUGGCGCAUGAAAUUCUUGGCUAGAUUUUCUUCAAUAUACUCCUUGAAUUCAGUCAACUCAUUUUGUGAUAAACUGUAGAUUGGUCCGAAUGGCAAUUGUACUCCUUCUUGAAGGUCAAUUGAGCAAUCAUAGGGACAAGGUUUCGGGAGUGUAUCUGCAUUUUUUUUUUUCGAAUACAUCUUGAAAUUCUUGAUAUUGGCUUGGAAUGCCACUUGAAGUCUUUCCACCAGUAGAAACAGGUGUGGCAUAAAUAAUAUAUGGUGAUUCUUUCAUAGUAGCAUGCAAGAAAGCUUUUGUAUUUAUAAAUACGGGUUUAAUUGAACUAGAAUUAUGACUCUCUACUUGAUUAACCACACUAUUAGUUAUACUUUUAGAGAAAGUAAGAGUUCGGAAAAUCCAAUCUAUUUGAAGGUUGUAUUUUUUUAACCAUGAUAAACCUAAAAUAACUGGAUUAGAGGGAGAUCUAAUGAUAUUAAAUACUACAAAGCUAUUAUGACCAUUGAUUAUUACUUCUAUAGGAAGGGUUUUGUGAGUAAUAUUUCCAAAAGAUAAUGGAAGACGAUCUAUAACUUCUACAUGAACAGGUUUAGUUUUCUUUACUAAAGAUAUGCUAUGUCUUUUAGUAAAUUCUUCAUCUAAGAAACACGUUGAGGCUCCUAAAUCUAACAAGGCAGAGGCUUUGUAAUAUUUAGGUCCUAAAAUAACAUUUAAUGUAAAACAAGGAGAGGGCUCUAAGGAGAGAAUAAGACCUUUACUAGAUGUUGUGUAAGGUUCCAGCGGCACAAUCCCUAUUAUAGUUGGACAAACUCGUUUUCCGACAUAUUAUCUUCUUUCACAGCCAUACUCCUCAUUUUGUGAUUACGUCAUUUCUUUGGACAAUGUUGAGUAGUGUGCUUUGAUUCUCCACAAUAUAAACAUAAUCCUUCUUGACAACGACGAGUCUUUUCUUGUUCAAUAAGAGGUUUGAAACGUACUGCAUCAAUUUGCAUAUCCUCUACUUUCGAAUGCAUGUGUUGAAGAGGUGUUGGUGUUGCCAUUGAAUUGUAGUAACGUUGAGGUUGGUUCUCAGAUCAGAAUUCAAAAAGGCGAUUGUUGCACUUCACAACAAAGUCAAUUGCUUGACUCAAUGUUUGAGGAUCAGGUAAGUUGAACAUUAAUUUUUUUUACCUCAUAUUAUAAUUCGUAGAGAAAUUGGCUAAUAAGUGUAGCAUCAUCCCACUUGAUAUCAGUUGCAAGUUGUCAAAAUUGUGAAGUGUACAACGUUACUGAUCGAUUACCUUAUCGUAAAAUACGGAUCUUAUUGGUUGCAAUACGAAUUACAUCAUGUUCUCCAUACAUGGAUCGAAACUCUGCUAGAAAAGCCUCUAAAUUAUCUAAUAUUGGAUCUCAUCGUUCAAGAAAAGAUGAAAACCAUGAUAGUGCUGAACCUGAAAGAAGCAUAUCAAUGAAUCUAACUUGCGAUCCUGGAGUUGGAUAGCUUUGGGGUUGCAGUUCAAUCACAAGUUGCACUUGAUUGAUAAAUCCUUGAAACUUGGAUCUGAUGCCAUCAAACUUCUCGGAUAGGAUAACUCUUGGUUCUCUAACACUGGAAGGGCGUUCCACCAUAGGAGAAAGGACAUGAUUUGGUGCAGAUGUUGAAGCAGCUCCAACCAUUUCUAUAUCUUCACUUCCUGUCAAUCUUGUUGCUCCUUGUGGUGGUAAAUUGAGUUGAUGCCUUGCAAGCAUUAACUCUUUCAAUUGCUCUUAUAUUUAUGCCAUUGCACUCUUCAUUUCAACAAGUUCUACUAUGAUAACACUUAGAAAAGAGAAGAUGUCUAAAAUCGCUCAAGACAAAUAGAAGAGAGGACUUGAGAACAAAGAAAAUACUAAAGACAAUAUCAGUUUUGAAGAGGGUAAUCUGCAACUUCUAAUAUGCUUAUAUCUUAUCAAAAAAAAGAAGUAACCCACUCUUAAUCAAGAUUAGAUAAAGCUCUGACAUUGUAGGUGUACUCUUAUCAAUCUGUCAAGGACAAGAACUCGAUAAAAAAGAAAUUCAGAUAAGUGAGCCUUCACUCAAAAAAAGAUAACAAAAUAUAAAUAAAUAAGUAUGUAUAUUGAAAAAGAAACUGGAAUGGCUAUUGCCAAAAGACAAGAAAACUAGAGACCCUUGAAACUAGACUAGAAGCAAGAAAGGAGUUGACAAGAGUGAAGAAGGCUUCACUCUUGUCUCUAUAUAUACUAUCUAACUAGGGGCUACAUGGUGACGUUCUAUAGGACGCCCAAUAUGUGUUGACUUUGUAGGAUACAUGCCUUGACUUACGAGGCAAGUUUUUCUACGUGUAGACCACAAAGUUAGCUUGAUCUUCAAGCUAACAACAUGUGUGGCACAUGGCCAACUUUUUGACCACGUUUCUAAUCCAAAAAGUCAAUUAAAGAUACCUAUGAAGUCAAAGCAAUGUCUAUGAAGCUUCUAGAAAGCUUCCAUAUUAAAUACUAAAGAAUUAACUUACUUUUCCUACUUUUACUUACUUCCACUUAUUUAUAUAUGUAAUUACUAGCUUACAUGAGUAUGUCUGUGACAUCAUCUAUUCAAUUCCUCUCAAAUUUUAUUUAAAUGUUGAAAAUUAAGUUUAAUAUCCAUACAAAAAGUUACACUUUAAUCCAAUUGACAAAUUGCUGAAGAUCUUAGAAACACUCAAUGACCCUCAAACUCCAAUAUUUGAGACCUCAACCCACAAAAAUCUUCAUAUACUUCAAUCUAAUUCUUUGAUUGAUCUCAAAAUUUGUAUACAUAUUAACAAAUAGCACACCAACAUAUUGCAUAAGUUUUAUCUAUAUACACACCAUAGAAUUCAAGAAAUCCUUAAAUUUAUAAACAUAUAUUAUUUCUCAAAUUCUAAUCCUAUCAAGAAUACCUCUAACUUUGAAAAUCCUUCAAAAUCUCAAUAUUGAUACAAAUGACAUAAAACCAAUAUUUGAUUUUUUUUCUUCAAGUCUAUCUCUCAAGUCUCAUUCUACAAUCUCCAAAAAGAACUUAGAGUAGCCAUAUAGUCACAAUUAUAUACCUUAAGAUUUGAUUUUGAUCCAAGUAGACAAUCGGUCUUCUUUUAAUAUCAUUUGAUAAUUUGAGGUAAGUUUUGCUUUAACCUAUUAUUUAUUUUUUCUUAAAUAUGUCCAUAUAAAUUUCUUAUCUCAUUUACUUUGAUUUGGCUCAUUUAUGUCUCUACAAAGUAAAUAGAAGUUCCUUCUAUAAAAAACAACAUUAAGACUAAAUCUUUUCCUACCUUUCUAUUAUUUAUCUUUAUUUUUCUACUACAUCUUUCUAUUAGAUUCUUUAAUAAUUGCAUCUAUAUUUUUAUUUUUUACUAUAUAAUCAUAUUACUAUACAAUAACAAUAGCUUGUAAGUUUUUAGCUACUUAUUCAUCAAAGAUAAAAUCAAUGCAAAUUGAUUGAGUACAUUUUGAAUUCCUUAUAAAGCAAAAAUAGACUUGACAUCAUUAAAGGAAACGGUACUUAUAUUAUGUAGAAACUAAAUAUACUGCUCAGCAUUGUUCAAAGAAGCAAUAUAAUUACAAAAUAAAGAAUACGGUUGCUAACGAAGAUAAUGUGUCAAAAAAUAAGUUUUUCUAAUUACAAUAGGGAUUGUGUGGCUAGGAUCAUGUGCAUCACUUAGUAAAGGACCUAUUGAAAUAGGACCAGUCUAUCUCAAGAGUUUAAGAUGCUUUUAAUCUACAACAACAUAAAACCUCAUCACAAAGUAGGACAAAAUGAAGCAGAACAAAAUUAUACAAAAGUAAACAGAAUAAGACAUGCAAGACAAAAUUAGACAAAUAAAAAUAAAAAAAGAACAAAAUUGAAUAGAAAGAUGUAAAAUCAAAUUUUACUACAAGAGAAGGUCCAAAGCCAUAUUUGACUAAAUACCUACAAGACCCUAAUAAGUCUUAUUUAUACUUUAUUCUAAUACCUUGGACUUUCUAAAAUGUUCUUAGAUGAUGGAUCCCAUCUUAAUAAUUGUCCUAAAUUCUUUCUAAAAGAUUCCAUCAUAGGCCUUACUUAAAUAAUCACCCUAAGCUCUUUUUAAAAUGUUCCAUAGUAGAUUCUAUAUACUGGAGUAAUUUAGCUCCAAUUCUAAAAACUUCCAUAACUUUUCAAACAUGGUUCCAACCAUCUAUUCUUAUAUGUCAACAAUACAAAUAUAUUAUCUAUAUCUUGUUACAAUUAAUCUCUAUCUACUAAUAUGGAAUAUUCUUAUUUUUCUUCCAAUAAUAUCUCCAAAUUGUCUCUUGGUAAUAGGUGAGGUUUUAUAUAGGUUUCUACAUUGCAUUGUGGAUGGAAUAACCUUUUCAAAGAACUUUGUACUAAAGUUGUAGAUGUCUACUGCCACGAAAAAGGUAGAAAUGCUCUAAAAUACUAUUUAUUUCAUAUUCUUAUUGGUCAUCAAUUAAAAUUGGUGGUUAGUGUCGAUCUAAAAAGUGCUUUGGCUCAGUAUGAAAUUCUUUUAGUUGCAAAACAAGGAAGACUAGAUAGACCUAAAUAUAUCAAAAAAGCUCGAAGCAACAUGUGACAUAAAAAAUUAUUAUAAAAAUGCAGAAAGGUCUAAGCCACUGAGAUACUAAUUUAUGGAUUUGGAUUGAUGUAGCAAGUGGCGAUUUGACAUUGGAGAAUAAUACCUGAUCACCCUCUUAGAAGGCCUUGUAUUGUUGGUAGUUAUCCAUAUACUGCUUUUGUCAAUUCUAUGCAAUAAGGUAAUAUUAUGCCUCUUGUAAGGCCACUAUAAGUUGUUAUAUAAAUUAUUCUAUUAUUGAAUUAUUGGUGUCAAUGGGACAAUAGAGAGUUGCUAGCAUAAUACGAUACUCAUUGAUAUUAAAGAAAAUUGGUGAAUGAUUGAUACUUAUUUAAAUACUAUCAUUGUAAGAAAAUUCUAAGGGUGUCAAAUAUUCAUUCCAAUCAUUAUAAUGAACUAUAAUAAAUGCUUGUACCAUAUCUUCCCAGGUUCAAUUUGCAUGCUCUGUUUAUCGAUCUGUUUAGAGAUAGAAGGUUAUAGGUAUGGCAAGUCAUGUACCUAAUACCUUGAAUAAAGCUUGCCAAAAACUUCACAUAAAAUAUGGAUCUCAAUCUAAAACAAUGACACAAGGUAAUCCAUAGUGAUAAAAGACAAUAUCAAAAAAGAUCUUUACAAGCAUUGAGGCAUUAAUAUCUAAGUUUAUCUUGGCCAAAUGAAGUUGCUUCAAGAGUUGAUCUACAAAGACGGCAACUACAAUGUGAUUAUAAGGUGUCUACAACAAACUCACAAUAAGAUCCAUAGUCACUUGCUCUCAAUGUAUUGUAGGUAGUAGAAUUGGUUGUAAUAGUCUCAAAGAUGUUGUGUUACAUGUUUUAUUAUGUUAACUUAAUUUAUAGAAGCACACAAAAGCUCAAACAUUACAAUCCAAAUCUGUCCCAAAUCAUGUCUUUGAGAUCCAUUCUAGAGUCUUUUUUCACCCUUGAUGUCUAGAUAUUGGGAUGUCAUGUCCUUCAUAAAGUAUGCAUGUCUAGUAUAGGACUGUCAGGUACAUAAAUCUGCUUCUUGAAAUAGAGCAAGCUAUCAUUAAGACUGUAAUCUUGAUAUUGUAUAUUGUCCACCUUCAGCCAAUCACAAGCCAUCUUGAAAUAAGCAUCCAAAUGCAUAGCUUUCUUCUAUUUUGUUUCUUUGGUUAGGUUUGAAAUAAUACUACUAAUGGUAGCAACUUCUACCUUGUCUCCCAAUUUGACCUUCAAAUCUGGUCUUUACAAUAAGUUUUCUAGCAUAAUAUAUUGUCGUCCUUGCUUGUAUUCAAGCUAGAUAUCAAAAACAUUGAAACUGUUCUUUUCAAUGAUAAUGUCAUAAUUUUAUAUUUUUUAGAUAUAAAUUGUGUAGCAAAGAUCGAUGGUUAAUUUGAACAACCACUCAUUUUUCUAACAAAUAGUAUCGCCACACCUUUGUGGUGUAUAUAAUUAUUAAUUAUUCUUAAUCUUAUAUAGAAUGAUUACAUUUUACUCUUCUAAGCUUGCAUGAUUCAUGUGCUAUAUGUUGAAGAUUCCAAAGUCUUGUUGAAAGAUCAUUCUAAUAGCAAAGUUAGAAGCAUCAAUGUCAAGUAUACAAAAGAGGUUGAAAUCAUACAUUUGCAAUAUUAGAGCUGUAAUUAGUAUGUCCUUCAACCUAUCAAAGGAACUUUACUAUUCCAAUUUUUAUUUAAAUGAAGUAUCUUUUUCCAAUAGGUUUGUCAAUGAAACAACAAUGUGUGCAAAUUGCUAAACAAAAUGGCGAUAAUAUCCAACAAGGCUUAAAAAUGAGCGGACUUCAGAAACAUCUUUGGAAGUUGGCAAAUCUUCUAUUGCUUUUGUCUUAUUCUACUCCAUGUACACACCUUUGAAAGACACAACAUGCCCUAAAAAGGUGACUUUUGACUUCCAAAGUUUAAAAGGAGGUACCUCGAUCAAGAGGCACGCCACUAGGCAAGACAAUUGAGAAGGCAUCUUGAUAUUAUUAUAUAAGUUGCUUUGUUCAUUCUAUUCCUUUGGCUAUCUUUUCCACCACUGAUGUAAAAUUUGAAACUACUAUAUAUACUAAUUACUUAUACUAUAUUUGUUUUUUCAUAAAUGUCAUUCCUACAAAUAAGUCUUUAUUUGCAGAUUAUUUUUUCUUUUCACUCAAUGUGGAGAUACAAAGAAUCACCUUGCGUCGACUAUCUUUGAAAGAAAUUGUCUUUGCUACCCAAUUAACUUACUUAUUUUUUACUUCUAGCUAUGACAUACCAAGGAUAACAUCAUAUCUUAGCUUUGUUUCCUUGAACCUCUCUCUUAAGAUGUAGGUAUCAGUCAACCUUAAGAUUUCUUCUUCACAUCUCUCGUUUAAUACAUUCACUUAGUCAUCUGUAAGGUAUAUACUACUUCUUCUAAUUACCUUAGUUUUAAUCCCAAGUUGGUCAAUAAUUUCAGUCGAGAUGUAAUUUUUCAUAGAGCCACAAUCCACAAGUACUCAACAUGGCUUUCUUCUUAGCAAUCUUAUUAGAUGCACUAGUUGAUUCUUUUUAUAAUUGUAUGAGGCCAUGCCAUUUGUCUUUAAAAGAUAGUAGCUUUCCUAGUAUUAGCCCCCAAUGUCUCUAUUAGAGAGCCUUUUUUCUUCCUUCUAUUUUAUUAUUGACUUGGUAAGUCUUGAGACUAUAAAUCCACCUUAUUUUUUUGGUGCUUGAAUUUUUGACAUUUUGAAUAACCUUCAAUCUGAUGGCCUAGAUCUCAAUAUUAGAAAUAAAAUCUCUUUUGCACUAAUAUUUUUUUGUCUUUAUGGUGUCAAUGAUUCUUGUAGGACAUCAAUCUCCAUUGAUGUUGGUUACUAUGCCAUAGUAUUAGAUAGCGGCAUAGAUCUUUGUGUUAUAGGUUGAAUUCUAUAAUUUUUGAAAUCUAUAGCUUACACUUUUGCUAUAAUCCAAAUUGCCUCUUCAAAUGUUUGUGAAUCUUUUAGUUCCACCUUUCUUUGGACCACAAAUUUUAAACCUCAUAGAAAUUGAUCUAUCAUCUCUGCCUCUAAAACUUUACCAAUUUGGAAACAUAGAGACUUAAAUCAGGAUACAUAAUCUUACAUUGAUCUAGAUUGUCUAAAAUUUGCCAAUUGAUCACAUUAUAUAUUUUUGGCAUUGAUGGGCCAAAAUUGAUUCCUAAAUUCUAUCUCAAAUUCCUUUCAAUUACAAAAUCCACCUUGAGUUCCAUAGCUUUAAAGUCAAUGUUGCUACCAAAUGGCUACUACAUCUUUCAAAUAGCUCGCUACAAAUAUAAUUCCUUUAGAGAUAUUUACCUCAAAUAGUUGGAAGUAUUGUUACAUAUUAAAGACGCAUUGAUAUAUAUCUUUUUGUCUAAAAGUCCUAAAAUACGUACUAUAAUUAUUCAAUUUUAGCCUAGCAAAUGUCAACUCUCUUGUCCUAAAGGCUUCUAUUUGUCCUUGUAAAAUAGCUAUUUGUCCUAAGAGAUGCUAUAUUUGAAUCUCUACCUAAAAUUACUCUGCUAUAUCUUCUAUGUUGUAAUUUCCUAGUAGGCUCUACUAUUGUAAUGCCUUCUUACCUUCCAAUUGACUUUUUAAGAGUAGUUUAUGGUAGCUCCAAGAUAAUAACUAGUGUGAUUACAAUAAUUGAUCUCAAAUUAGAUGAUGAUUAUUUGUUAGGGACAUAUUCCUUAGAACUUUCUAGAGAGAAGUUUCUAAAACCUUCUAGAAAACAAGCCUCUGGAACCUUCUAGAAGAGAAGCCUCUGGAACCUUUUAGAAAGAAGUUUCUAGAAGCUUCUAGAAAGGAAGUCUCUGGAACCUUCUAGAAGAGAAGUUUCUAGAAGCUUCUAGAAAGGAAUCCCUUGGAACUUUCUAAAAGCUUCCUAGUUAAUAGAAGUAGCUCGAGAAGUUUCUAGAACCUUCUAAAAAGGAAGCCUUUGGAACCUUCUAGAAGCUUCCUAGUUAAUAGAAGUAGCUCGAGAAGCUUCCUAAGUAGGAGUAUAUAUAGGGAUCGAGGCUGAAGAGUUCUUCAGUCUCGACAACACAUCUCUUGGAGUUCUAGCUCACCUUUCUGGUGUGGUUCUUGUACUCAUCUGUUUAAUCUAGUUCUGCCACUUCUUCUUGAACUUCUUGUUAGAUUUCAAGUCUGUAUUUUGUGUCCAUGACAGUUUGUUGAGACUACACUAACUUGAGAUAUCAGAGCUAGUUCUUUCUUAAUAGAGUGUGGAUUACCCCUCUACUUGAAGGUAUACUAGCAUUUUUUAGAGGUUGCGGAUUACCCUCCUCUGAACUGAUACUUCUUCUGUUACAAUAUUGGAGUCUUAUUCUUCUUGGAGAGAGUGGAUUACCCCUCUUCUUGAAAUUCUUAAGGCGUUUUAUAGGUUGUGGAUUACCCUCCUAUAAACCAAUAUUGCCUCUUAUAGGGUCAUUUUUGUCUUUCUUUUAGAAUGGCCGGAGGUCAAGACAUUAGUAUGACAGAAAGUUUGGAGUCUAAGUUAGAUGCUAUUAUGAAUGCCCUCGCUACGUUAUCACAAAGAAUUGCAGAGAUUGAAGGAGUGGUGGCAAGGCUUCAUAAUGAUGGAGUAUCUGGGAUAGCACAAUCUAAACUACACCAGCCUCAAAUUUCGGCACUUGGAGAAACAACUUUACCUCAGGUUCGACAAGAACCACUAGUUCUACAACGUAAGGAGCCUCGAGUUAGCCUUCCAGAUAAGUUUGAUCGAAUAUGUUCCAAGUUUCGAGGAUUCGUCAAUCAAAUCAGGUUGAUAACAGUUUUAUAGCCCGAACGAUAUCCAACGGAGGAGUCAUGUGUUGGGCUUGUUGGAACCUUACUUACGGGACAAGCUCUAUCAUGGUUUGCUCCUUUGUUUGAAAAAAUGAUCAUCCAUAUUAAACAACUUCAAAACCUUUUUGGAAGCAUUUGCAGAAGCAUUUGGUGAACACGAUAAGGUUCGAUGGGCUACAACAAAGAUCCGGUCGCUACGACAAGGGAUGCGUUCUAUAUCAGUCUAUGCUUCGGAUUUCAGGCAAUUAGUAUGCGACAUCAAUUGGGAUGAAGAAGCGUUGAUGAGUCAAUUCUAUUGGGAUUUAAGAGAUGAUGUGAAGGAUUUGCUGUUAACUCUUCCUGAUCCACGAACGCUCAAUGAAGCCAUUAGCCAAGCUGUGAAGUGCGAUAAUCGCCUAUUCCAACGUCGCCAAGACCAACGCUCAAGACAACAUACAAUUUGCCAUGCUCCAACUAUGUCGGCAAGCAGUGUGAAUUCGCAUUCAGAGGUGGAAGACAUGCAAAUUGAUGUGGUACGUAUCAAAUCUCUUACUAUAGAAGAAAAAAAGUGACGUAUGGAGGAAAAUUUAUGCUUGUAUUGCGGUGGAGAAGGCCACAAAGUCGGAAACUGCCCUAAAAAGCAAAAUCGAGGCAUAGUCAAGACUAGGGGAGUAUUUGUUUAAGAAAACGAGGAUGCCCAGCCACAGUAGGAACCGUGCGGCUGGACAAUGAAAUAUCCCAACAACAAUCAGGUUCCUUUCUUUCUGCCCAACUUGCCCUUUGUUUUACAAUCCCUCUGUUUAUUGGCCCUCAAAAACUGAGAACUUUAGCACUACUAGACUCAGGAGCAUCUGCUUGUUUUUUAGACCAAGAAUUUGCAAAGCGUCAUAAGAUCCCUUUAGUACAAAAAUCAAAACCUGUUCAUGUUGAGGUCAUAGAUGGGCGACCUUUAUUGUUUGGUAGCAUCACCCAUGAAUCAAAACCUAUAGAAAUAACGUUUAAAGACCAUAGUAGUCAUAUUAUUUUUAAUUUUAUUAGAACCCCAUCAAAUCCUAUUAUUCUUGGUCUUUCUUGGUUGGAAAAACAUAAUCCAUUGAUAGAUUGGAGGUUGCGGAAGAUGACUUUUCUCACAAAACCACCCAAGAAAAAACCUAGUAAAAAACCUCAAAAAAAGAAAUCCUUAUUCAUUGGAGCAAGAGCGUUUAUAAGAUCAUCUAAGGGAGGCACUCCAUUUGUCAUUUAUGCGGCUCCAACUACCGAGGAGAAGAUCUCAACAGCAAGUAUACCGGAGCAAUAUAAGGAUUUUGAAGACGUGUUUCAAAAGAAGAACGCCAACAUACUACUGGAACACCGACCAUAUGAUUGUGCCAUAGACUUGCAAGAAGGAGCACAACCAUCUUUUGGCCCAAUCUACAAUCUAUCGCAAACAGAGUUGGCAGAGUUGCGAAAGUACAUCGAUGAGAAUCUAGCCAAGAACUUCAUUUGUCAUUCAAAAUCAUCAGCUGGAGCACCCAUCUUAUUUGUGAAGAAGAAAGAUGGAUCAUUACGGAUGUGUGUGGACUAUCGAGGCCUCAACAAGGUAACAAAGAAAAAUCGUUACCCAUUACCCUUGAUUUCUAGUCUCUUAGAACAACUUGGAUGUGCAAAGAUCUUUACAAAAAUAGAUCUAAGGGGAGCUUAUAAUCUCGUACGAAUCAAGGAAGGAGAUGAGUGGAAGACAGCAUUCCGUACAAGGUAUGGUCAUUUCGAAUAUAAUGUCAUGCCUUUUGGUCUUACCAAUGCUCCAGCGGUUUUCCAACAUAUGAUGAAUGACAUCUUUCGAGAAUACCUCGACGAUUUUGUUGUCAUCUACUUGGACGAUAUUCUAAUAUUCUCUAAAAUCGAGGAAGAGCAUGAGGAGCAUGUUCGUUUGGUCUUGGAGAAACUACGCAAGCGAGGACUAUAUGCCAAAUUAGAAAAGUGUUUAUUUCACCAGACGGAGAUGGAAUUUUUGGGGUUCAUUGCGACUACAAAAGGUUUGAAGAUGGACCCUAAGAAAGUAGAAGCAAUCAUGUCUUGGGAGGUUCCGAAGGCGGUUAGAGACGUACAAUGCUUUCUUGGUUUUGCUAACUUCUAUCGGAUCUUCAUCAAGAAUUAUUCUCAAGUUGCUACUCCUCUCACUCGAUUAACAUGCAAGGAUAAGUUGGAAUGGGGACCUUUGGCGGAGAAGGCGUUUCAAGAUUUGAAGACAGCAUUUACUACAGCUCCAAUUUUGGUACAUCCAGACUUUACAAAGGCCUUCUAUUUAGAAACUGAUGCUUCAGAUUUUGCUUUGGGAGUUGUGCUUUUAGAAAUGAGUGAAGAUAAGAAGCUCCAUCCAGUUGCAUUCUAUUCUCGGAAGUUCUCUGCUGCUGAAAUCAAUUAUGAGAUCCACGAUAAGGAACUUCUUGCUAUAGUGGAUUCUUUUGAAGAAUGGCGUCACUUUCUUGAAGGAACUGCACAUCCAGUAACCGUAUAUACGGAUCAGAAAAAUUUGGAGUAUUUCAUCACGGCUCGAGUAUUAAAUCGGCGUCAAGCUCGGUGGAAUAUGUCGCUAUCUAGAUUCGAUUUUGUUAUCACUUAUCGACUUGGAAGACAGCAAGGACUAUCCGAUGCUUUAUCAAGGAGAUCGUAUCUUGCACCAAAGGCUGGAGAAGCAGCGUUUGAUCAACAAUGUACAACGUUAUUGAAGCCAGAGAGAUUUCAACUUUGUGCUACUAUUGUAUCAUUUGAUGCUGACUUCCUAAACCAGGUACAUGCUAUGACUAUUAAAGAUUCAGUAGCCAUUGAUAUCAAGCAACGUACCAAUGACGACAAGUUCAAGGUGGAGGGAGAUCUUUUAUACUUUGAAGAGCGAUUGUACAUUCCAAAAGGACUAGCACGACUCCGAGUUCUUCAAUCUCGCCAUGAUUUUCCAGCUGCGGGAUAUUUUGGAUUCAACAAGACCUUGGAGCUUAUUUCCCGAGAUUUUUGGUGGCCCCAAAUGUAGAAGGAUGUGAAAGAUUUUGUCCUCUCUUGUGACAUCUGUUCAAGAUCUAAGAAUCCUCGGCAUCACCCUUAUGGACUUCUACAGCCAUUGCCAAUUCCACGUCGACCAUGGUCUUCAAUUUCUAUGGACUUCAUCACGGACUUGCCAUCAUCAAACUCAUUUGACAGCAUCUUUGUCGUGGUAGAUCGGCUUACGAAGAUGACAGACUUUGUUCCUUGUAAGAAGACAUUGUCCAGUGAAGUCACAGCAAGACUCUUUCUCGAUAAUGUGUAUCGAUAUCAUGGACUACCAGAUGAUAUCAUAUCAGAUCGAAGUACCCAGUUCAUGUCAAAGUUUUGGAGAUCUCUCUUUGGAAUAUUGAAGGUAGAUAUCAAGCUUUCUUCAGCUUUUCAUCCUCAAACUGAUGGCCAAACGGAACGGGUGAACCAAGUCUUGGAGCAGUACUUACGAUGCAGCAUCAACUAUCAGCAAGACGGUUGGACUGCAUAUCUACCGCUAGCCGAGUUUGCAUAUAACAACACCCUCCAUGCGUGGACUCAACAAACACCAUUCUUUUCCAACUAUGGAUAUGAUCCGAAGCUUGAUUUAUUGAGUCCGUCAACAAAUAACAAUCCAGCAGCUGAAGGAUUUGCGAAGCAACUAUCAGAGCUUCAAACUAUAUUGAAGCUUCAAUUACAAUCCACUCAAAAAUCCUAUAAGACGUCUGCAGAUAGAUUUUGGAAUCCAGCACCUACUUUCAAAGUUGGAGACAAAGCCUGGUUUCUUCGACGAAAUAUCAAGACCAAGCGACCAUGUGAUAAGUUGGACUAUCGAAGAUUGGGACCAUUUAUCAUCCAGAAGCAAAUUAAUCCAGUGGCAUACCGGCUAAAGUUACUGGCUUCUAUGAAGGUACAUCCAGUCUUUCAUGUUUCUCUGUUGGAACCUUAUCGAGAGUCAUCUUUUCCUGGAAGAGUGUAAUGUCCGCCACCUAGUAUUAAAAUCGAGAACCACGAAGAAUACGAGGUUGAAAAGGUAUUGGAUUCACGGCGAAGGUGGGAAAAGUUAGAAUAUCUUGUUCAUUGGUGUGGCUAUGACAUUAAUGAGCGAAUAUGGGAGCCAGCUGAAAAUCUUGCGAAUGCGCCACAAAAGGUACAGGAGUUUCAUCAACGACAUCCCGAUAAACCUAAAUCAAUUCGAUGAUAGCUUCUUUUUGAAGCUUGUUCUCCCAACAAUAUAAGAAAAGGAGAGAGCACAAGCAAAAUUCAUAAUUGAUGUAGUUAUUUUCUCCAAGAUAGAUCGUAGUUUGGUCUUUUGAUAUGGAUAGCCAAGAGAUAGAUACUAUGCCAGUCAGAGUAUCGCAACUGAGUAGCUCACGAAGGCGACCCCGAGAUGAAGAACUACAUGUACCACGACGACGACGGAGGAUACCGAGUAACCGAUCACUGGUGAUCGUAUUUGAGAUCGAGCCUGCUUACGAUGGUCAACCAAAAGGCGUGUUUGCAGGACAAUUUCACAAUGAGGACACGGAAGUUCAUGCUUAGUCAGAAGUCGAAGGCGUGGGCCACUACCAUUGGCUUCAAGGAUUGAUGAACCACUUGUCUUGUGAACAACAAUUGGAGUUCAUAGUAGAAGUUGUGCGACAGAUCUUCAUUUUCUUGCGUUGGUACUGAUCAACAACAUUGCUUCUCAGAGACCUCGAAGCUAAAAGAGGGGGUGAUGUUAGGGACAUAUUCCUUAGAACUUUCUAGAGAGAAGUUUCUAGAACCUUCUAGAAAACAAGCCUCUGGAACCUUCUAGAAGAGAAGCCUCUGGAACCUUUUAGAAAGAAGUUUCUAGAAGCUUCUAGAAAGGAAGUCUCUGGAACCUUCUAGAAGAGAAGUUUCUAGAAGCUUCUAGAAAGGAAUCCCCUGGAACUUUCUAAAAGCUUCCUAGUUAAUAGAAGUAGCUCGAGAAGUUUCUAGAACCUUCUAGAAAGGAAGCCUCUGGAACCUUCUAGAAGCUUCCUAGUUAAUAGAAGUAGCUCGAGAAGCUUCCUAAGUAGGAGUAUAUAUAGGGAUCGAGGCUGAAGAGUUCUUUAGUCUCGACAACACAUCUCUUGGAGUUCUAGCUCACCUUUCUGGUGUGGUUCUUGUACUCAUCUGUUUAAUCUAGUUCUGCCACUUCUUCUUGAACUUCUUGUUAGAUUUCAAGUCUGUAUUUUGUGUCCGUGACAUUAUUGUCACACUACCAAAGAAUAGUUUGACACUCGUUUUGAUACCAAUGAAACAAAACAAGUCUAUCUCAAGAGUUUAAGACUUUUUUAAUCCACAACAAUAUAAAAACUCAUCAUGAAGUAGAACAAAGCUAAAUAGAAGUAAAUAAAAUAAGAUACAAAAGAUAAAAUUAGGCAAACAAAAAUAGAACAGAACAAAAUUGAACAAAAAAAUGCAAAAUCAAAAUUUACUAAGAUAGAAGAUCUGAAGCCAUAUUAGAUGCCUAAAAGGCCUUGGUUAGUCGUAUUUAUUCUUUAUUUUACUACCUUGGAUUUUCUAAAAUGUUUCUAGGUGAUGAAUCCUUCUUAGAUAAUUGCUCUAAGCCUUUUCUAGAAGGUUCCAUGAUAAGCCUUUUGAGUCAUCAAAUUGACUCACUAGUUAUUUUAGAAUAAAAAGAUUCUUUUACAAUGCUUAAAACCACAAUAUAUGGUGAAUAGUAUAGAAAUCUUUAGAAAAAUAGAAAACUAGAAAGUCAAUUGUAGAAUCGGAGUCUUAGUAAGUCUUGGAGGUAAUUAUUUUAGUUAGUUUAAUAUUUUUUUAUUUAUUAUUGGAUAUUAAGGGAUAUUUAUUAAGAUCAAUAUUUAUAUUGACCUUCUAUUUAUAUAUGUUACUUAUAAGAAAAACUAUAAAUUUUAAUUAGUAGUUAGAAGAAGCAUGAAAAAGAACCUCAUGUCUUUUUAAUUAGUUAUAUAGAAAGUAGGAUUUAUAUUAGAUUUAAAUUGAUUUUAUUACUAUAAAAAUUUAUAAAGGUAAAAAAUUAUAGCUUAAAUUUUAUUUUAAUAGUAUAAAAAUUUCAUACGAAUUUUUAAAAUUUAUUUAGAAAUUUUUAGGAAUUUUUAGAGUAAUUUCUAAGACUUUGAUAAAAAUGAGUUUCAUCACUUCGGGAGCCAUUAUAUGAAAAAUGGAGCAAGAUUUGAAGGCCCGUAAGGUUCCUAAGCUAAUUGAGUUUUCUUAAAUACCAAGAUGAAGUCAAAAAUACAAAAUUAUUGGUUUUACUAGUUGAAAAUAGGAGGACCAGCAGCUAGUGUAGUCCUUGUAAGAAAGAAGGUGCACAAGUUCCAUGUAGUUUUUAGCACCUUGAAGGUAGUUAGGAAGAUAAGACUAAGGCCUCAUGGCCUCUCUUAGAGAUCCAUAUAUACUACAUGUAAGCCUUAGUGAGGCUCAAAUUCUUGAUCUCUUAAAUAAGUUAUCUUUGAGGUAAAAAUUAUUUAUUUAAUUUUUUAUUUAUUUACUUGUUAUUUUUAAACCUUCAUAACUUAUUCAUAAUAAUUCGUAUUUUUAUGUUUUUUAUAUCAUUGAAAAGAUAAAAAAACUAAAUUUCUAAUUUUUUUUACUUUUAUUUUUUAUUUUUUAUUGGAUAAAAAUUCAAUGAAUGGAUUAUAACUAGUUUUAUGGUAUACAAUUGCUUGAUUGCACUUGUUUCAUGUAUUUUUGUAUUUUGCUUCUUUUUUUCUUGUUCUUGCUACUUUUACUUUAUACUACUAAUUAAAAUUAAUUCUUAAUUGAUGCCAUUUUAUAAUUGACAUUAAAGAGUGAAUUUUACACUUAUAGGCCCUACUUAGAUAAUUACUCUAAGCCCUUCUAAAAGGUUCCAUGGUGGAUUCUAUCUAGAUAUCCAUCUUAGGCUCUUUCUAGAAUGUUUUACAAUAGAUCUUAUAUAGUCCACUAAUUUAGCUCUAAUUCUAGAAACUUCCAUAACUUAUCAAACGUGAUUUCAACUAUCUAUCUUCAUGUAUCAACAAUACAAAUAUCUUAUCUAUACUCUGUUAUAUUUCUUCUCUCUUCAGAUCUUUCACCUUGUUUUAUAAUAGAUGUACGUUUAGGAUCUAAAAAUCAUAAAGUCUUUAUAUUAUUAAAUUUAGAAGUCUUAAUUUAUUUUAUAAACAAAGACUUCAUUAAAAAAAUAUAUAUCUUUAGUUAAGAAAACUAAAUUUGUAUAAAUAGAAGUCAUUGAUACUCAUUUAUUAUCUUUUAAAAAUAUUAUUCAUAAAACUAUUCUUUUAGAUGUAGUAAUUAAAAAUUAUAAUAGUAUAAUAAUAUUUAAUGUAAUAAGUUCUUUCUCUAAAUUUGGAUAUUUUAGGAUUAUCAUGGUUAAAAAAAUAUAAUCUUCAAAUGAACUAGAUUUCUCAUAAUAUUAAUUUUUUUAUAGUUUAAACCAAAAUAUAUUAGUUAAAUAAAAAUAUAUAAGUUUAAUACAUCUAAAUUCUUAUAGAUUAGUAUGAGAGUUUUCAUGCAUAUGGCUUAAGAAGGAUUAUCUUUUGUUAUAUAUAUACAAUACUUAAUUUUGAUGGUAGAAAGAUGACAAGUGAUAUUCCAAGCUAACAAUAAUAUUUUCUAGACGUUUUUGAAAAGACAAAUAUAAAUCUUUUUUUCAAAACAUUGAUCUUAUGAUUAUUCAAUUGGUCUUUAAAAAAGAGCUCAACCACCAUGUGGACUAAUUUAUAGCUUAUUACAAAAUGAAUUGGCUGAAUUAAAGAUAUAUAUUGAUAAGAACUUGGUUAAGAAUUUUAUUUGCUAAUCUAAAUCUUCAACAAGAGCUCCUAUCAUAUUUGUGAAGAAAAAAGAUAGAUCAUGUCAAAUGUAUGUAGAUUAUUGAGGACUUAAGGAAAUUAUCAUCAAGAAUAUAUAUCCUUUACACUUGAUUUUAAGACUUUUUGAUCAAUUUAAUUAAGCAAAGAUCUAUACAAAAAUAGAUCUAUAAAGAUCAUAUAACUUGGUUCGUAUCAAAAAAAGAGAUGAAUAAAAGGUUGUUUUUGAAACUAGGUAUGGAUAUUUUGAAUAUAAUGUCAUUUUUUUUACACUCACAAAUGUACUAAUCACUUUUUAACAUCCUAUGAAUGAUAUUUUUUGAUAGUUUCUUAAUAAUUUCAUUUUUUGUUAUUUAAAUGAUAUUUUAAUCUAUUCUAAGAAUAUAAAAAAUAUGAACUUCAUAUUUGUUGUAUAUAACUAAAACUUAAAGAUGUAGGAUUAUAUGUCAAGAUAGAAAAGUAUAUUCUAUACUACUUAAGUUGAUUUUUUAAAAUACAUUAUUUCCAACAUAGACUUUAUGAUGGAUUUUAAGAAGAUUCAAACUAUUAUGAAUUGAAAGAUUUCAAAAUAAUAAAAAAAUGUGUAAUAUUUUUGAAAUUUUCUAAUUAUAACCAAAUCUUCAUCAAGAAUUUUUUUCAAGUUGAAGCUUUUCUUAUAUAUUUCACUUCUAAAGACAAAUUUGAAUGGAAUAAAAAAAAAAAAAAAAAAAAAAAACGUCUUUUCAGGUCUUGAAGAAAACAUUUAUUUCUAUAUCAAUCUCUUAUCGCAUUGACUUUUUCAAGGAAUUUUUCAUAAAAAAAAAUACAUUAGACUUUGCUAUAGAUAUGAUUUUGCCAUAAAUGGUAGAAAAUGACAAGCUCAAUAUGAUAAAUUUCUAUUCCAAGAAAAUUUUAGCAAGCAAGAUUAACUCUAAGAUCCACAAUAAACAGCUUUUUGUAAUCAAUGAUUUAUUUCAAGAGUAGCAUUAUUAUUUAGAAGAUACUUCUAGUUCAAUCACCUUAUAUAUGGAUCAUAAGAACCUCAAAUACUUCAUAUUAGCACGUAUUUUGAAUCAUCACCAAACUUAUUUGAGUAUAUUUGUGAGUGUAAAUUUCAUUCCUUAAUCCUAAUUACAAGAUGGCCUCAAUUAAAAGUUUCUUGUAAUUGGUGGUGUGAAGUGAAGUAUGCAAUUGGCAAAAAAUUCAAAAAAAAUAACCAGAAUAUAAGUGGAAAAAAUGAAAUUAAGUAAUUACAACAUCCAAAAUAAUUUGUUCAAUAUAUUUUCAUCUAAUAAAAAAUAAAAUAAAAAAGUAAAAAGAAUAUUUUAAGAUAGGUAAUUUUAUUAUCUUUUCAAUGACAUAAGAAACAUUUAAAUUCAAAUUACUAUGAGUAAUUUAUGAAGUUUUAAAAAUAGAAAGUAAAUAAUUAAAAAGUGAAGUGAAAAUAUUUUACCUCAAGGAUAACUUGCUUAUAGAUCAAGGAUUUGAGCCUCACUAAGGCUCACAUGUAGUGUAUAAGGGUGUUCAUGGAGGCCAAGAGGCCUUAGUCUUAUCUUCCUAUCUAUAUCCAAGGUACUACAAUCCAUAUGGGCCUUGUACACCUCUCUUCCUACAAGGACUAAACUAGCUGCUGAUCCUCCUAUUUUCUACUAGUAAAUCUUAUUUUUUUACAUUUUCAACUUCAUCAUGGUGUUUAAAAAUAUCCUAUUAGCUUGUGAACCUUGUAAGGCCUUCAAACCUUGCUCCAUUUCUUCAUAAUGGCUCUCAAAGUGGUAAAACAUAUUUUUAUCAAAGUCUUGGAAAUUGCUCUAAAAAUUCCUAAAAAGUUCUAAAUAAAUUCUAAAUAAAUUCUAAAAAUUUAUAUAAUAUUUUUAUAUUAUUAAAAUAAAUUUUAAGCUAUAAUUUCUUACCUUUUAAUUUUUUAUAGUAAUAAAAUCAAUUUAAAUCUACUAUAAAUCCUACUUUCUAUAUAACUAACUAAAAAGACAUGAGUUUCCCUCUUAUGCUUCUUUUUACUACUAACUAACAUUUAUAAUUUUUUUUUAAGUAAUAAAUUUAGAUAAAAGAUCAAUAUAGAUAUUGGUCUUGAUAACUAAUACUCUCUACUCAACAAUAAAUAAAAAUCCUAAACCAACUAAAAUAAUUACCUCGAAGACUUACUAAGAAUCCAUUUCUUCUCUACUAAUAUUAUUCUUCUUCAUUUAACAUCCUCUAAGUACAUCUUCAUCUAAAAAUUGUUAUUUUGUCACUUUACAUCCAUUCUUUUGUCCUAAAACAACUAGUGAGUUAAUUUGAUGACUCACAAUGUUUUUAUAAAGAUUUGCUUUAAAGAUCACUUAUCAAUCCAAAAAAUAAAAAAUUUUGUUAAAUAUCUUUUUUAGAAAUAAUAAAAAAAUUGUGCUAAAAAAAAAAUGCAACUUUUAAUCAAUAAAGAAUGAUUUUCUUAAAACUAGAGUAUUUUCAUAUUUGAACAAUAAAAUCAACAUUGAUUGUUGAUUCAAAAAUGAUUUUCUUAAAACUAAAGUAUUAUCAUCUUUGAAUAAUAAAAUCAACAUUGGUUGUUGAUUCGGCCUUUUUCAAGUAAAUUCAAUGAAGUAUGUUUUUUAAUCAUCUUAUUUAUGAUAUUAAAAAUAAUUCUUUUAAGUCUCAUGAUAUUUUUAAGUUUGAAUUUAAGAAUAAUCUACUCUAUUUUGAGUGACAAUUAUAUAUUUCAAAAGGCAAAGCAGAAUUAUAUAUUUUUUAAGCUUCUUGUGACUUUAUAAUAAGUAGAAAUUUUGGAUAUAAUAAGACUUUAGAGCUAAUAUUUAGUGAUUUUUGAUAGAUUCAAAUAUAGAUAAUAAUUAAAGACUUUGUACAAUCAUAUGACCAUUCUUAUGGAUUUCUUCAGUAUUAUCUAUUCUAGAACAAUCAUAGUCUUUAAUUUCUAUGGAUUUUAUCAUAGAUCUUAUAGUCUCAAGUUCAUAUGAUUCUAUAUUUAUGAUAGUAGAUUAUUUUAUUAAAAUGGCAUAUUUUUCAUAUGUAUAAAAUCUAUUAUAGAUAAAAAAAAAUAGCAAAGUUUUUCCUUCACAACAUCUAUUGCAUAUCAUAGAUUGUCCAAGGAUAUUGAAUUAAAUAAAAGAUUCAAUUCACAUUAAGAUUUUAGAUAAUCCUUUUUAAGAUUUUAAAAGUAGACAUAAAGCUAUCUUUGAUCUUUUAUCUAUAAAUUUAUUGACAAACAAAGUACAUAAAUUAAGUUUUAGAAUAAUAUUUAAAGUAUACUAUCAAUUACUAAUACGAUGAUUAGAUAACUCAUUUGCCAUUGGCAAAAAUUGCUUAUAAUAAUAUGGUACAUUCUUCUAUGGAAUAAAUACCUUUUUUUUCUUAAUUAUAAUUAUCAUCCAUGACUUGAUACUUUUGACUUCUCAAAAGUUGAUAAUUUUAUAGUGGAAGAUUUAGCAAAUCAUUUAUUAAAGAUACAUAUAGUAAUGAAGGCAUAAUUAAAAGAAGUUCAAGAAUGUUAAAAGACCAACAUGCAUGUCUAUUGCAAGGAGCAAUUUCAAUUCCAUAUUGGCGACAAUAUAUGGUUAUUUUGUCAUAAUAUCAAGAUUAGCCAUCUUUAUAACAAGUUGGAUUAUUGUAGACUUCGACCAUUUCUUAUUCAUGAAUAAGUCAAUAGUGUUGUUAAUUGAUUACAUCUAUUAGAGUCUAUGAAGAUCUAUCUUAUAUUCUAUAUGUCUCUUUUUAAGCUAUAUAAGAUAGUAAAUAUGUUUGAAAGAAGACAAAUGUCACAUCUUCUUAUAGAAGUAAAUAAUAAUCAAAAAUUAAAAGUUGAAGAAGUUUUAGAUUCAAGGCAGUGCCAAAAUAGGUUGAAAUAUCUUGUUUAUAAGUACGGAUAUAAUAUUAGUAAAUACACAUGAGAACCAUCAAAGAAUCUUAAAAAUCUUAUAAAGAAGGUUGAAGCUUUUUAUUAAUGACAUCCAUCAAAAUCAAGAUGAAGAAUAAUAAAUCUUUAUUAUAAAAGAAAUAAAACAUAAGAAAGAUAGUAUUCUACUUUUUAUCUUUGUUUGUAGUUUCUAUGUAUUUAUAAUGCUAAAGAGAUGAAAAAUCAAUUAGGAGAUUUAACUCAAGAAUUAUUGUUUGCUAAUUUAUUGGACGAAAUAUUAUAAUUUUUACAACCUUCAAGACAAUAUAAUCAAGAUCAAAAUCCUCAAAAAUGACAUUCUUUUUUAAAUAGAUAGUGAGAUAUAAUGUAUUUGAUAUCAUGACCUUAGAAGCUAGACUUCAACCAAUAAGCAAUUAAUAAAAAUAUAAAAAUUGAGUAAGAUUGAACAUAUCAAUUACAAAAAAAACUCCCAAUCGUUGGCUAUCUUUCUUCUUUAAUUAGAAUAUUAAACUUUCAAUAUCAAUUUUUUUUUGAAUUAUUUAAUCGCUAUAAAAUUGGAUUAUUUGUAAAUAUUUAAGUUUUAAUUUUUCUUACCAAUUUUUGCUUCAACUUAACUAGCAAAUAUUCUUAAAUCUUGAAAUCACUCAUUGAUCUUAAAUCUCAAAUUUUGGAGACCAUAACCUAUAAAGACCUUUAUAUGCUUCAAUCUAAUUGCUUAAUUGAUUUCAAGUUUUUUUCACACAUUCAAAACAAAGACAACAAAAAAUUACGAAAAUUUCACCUAUAAACAUACUAUGAAACUUACAAAAUCUUGAAAUUUAUAAGCUUGUUUUAUUUCUCAAAAUCUAAAUCCACCAAGCAUAUUACUAAUUUUAAAAAUCUCUCAAAAUCUAAAUAUUAAUCCAAAUGAUAUUAAACCAAUAUUCAAAAAUAUUUUCUUAAGUUUUCUUUCAAAUCUUAUUUUCAUAUUCACAAAAGAACCUUGGAGUUACCAUAGGUGCUUGAUUUUGUAUCUCAAGGUUUGAUUUUAAUCCUCGUUGAUGACCGGUCUUCUCGAAGUAUCAAUUCUUGACUUUUUAAGCUAAAUUUUGCUAAAAUCAACUUCUAACUCUAUCCUACAUAUGUAAAUAUUUUAUUUUUAAUUAACUUUGUUUUAUCUUAUUUAUGAUUCUAUAAAGUAAAUCCAUUAUCAUAAAAAAAUAUUAAUAUUAAUAGAUUUUACUACUUGUAUAUUUUUUAUUUAUAUUUUUAUUAUAUAUUUUUAAUUGAAUUCUUUUAUAAUAAAAUAUUUUCUUUCUUCUUUUACCUAAUGGCUAUAUUAUUAUACGUGAUUGCCUUAGUAUGAGAUACUAUUGAUGGCUAAGAGGACCUAUCAACCAUGUUCAAAGAAAAAAAAGUUCAAAAUAUGUGGCAAAUAUAUUUUGCCCCAUUUUGGAUUUUUUCAAUAUAUGAUGACUACUCCUGAUGAAACUUAUUCCUAGAAGAGAGAAUAAUAUCACAUAUAUAUAUAUAUAUAUAUAUAUAUAUAUAUAUAUUCCAAUAAUUAUUUAUGUAAUUAGAUAAAAAUAAAUAAAAUUUAUAAUAUCUUAUAAAAAAGCUUCGUAGAAACUUUAUAGAUACAACUUAGACUUAACAUGUAUUUUUUGAUUAGAAAUUUAGACAAAAAAUUAGUCACGUAUCAUAUAUAUUAAUAAUUAUAUGACAUACAUAUAAUAAAAUUACCUUGAAAUUUAAGAUAUAUGUCUUAUAAUUUGGAUAUGUAUCGGAGGUUCUAUAGAAUAUUGUCAUAUAGCUCAUAGUUUGAUAAUAUAUAUAGAGGCAAGAAUAAAGCCUUCUUCACUCUUUUCAAUGUCUUUUUUAUUUUUAAUAAAGUUUUAAAGGUUUAUAUUCUUCUUAUCUUUGAUAAUAGUCAUUUUAAUAUUAAUAAUAUAUUAUUUUUAGAAUAAAAUUUUAUUUUUCUUGAAUUACAUAAGAAUAUUUUAAGGUUCAACUUGUUUUGAUUUAUGUCCUAGAUACUUAUUGGAUAAGACAUUGCAAUUAUCACAGCCUUUAAGAUGGCAUAAUAGAAAAAAAGUCCUUCAAGAAUGAUAUGUUUUUUAGCAAAUAGAUGGGAAGAUAUAAUGCAUUUAGCAUCACAACUUUAGAAGAGACUUCUAAUAUUUAGUAAUUUUAUUAAAGGUAGGAAUGGCUCUAGAUGAUAUUACAAAUGUUUUAUUUGAAAAAAGUUACAAAGACUUUAAUAAUGAUCAAAUAACAAGAUGGUCUUUUUGCCUUAUAAUGGGAUAUCAUCAAUAGAUGCAAGAACUUAUUAACUAUCUUCAAAGGAAAUAAAUAUUAGAGUAUGUAACAAAUAUAAUUUGUUGUAUCUUAAACUUUAUCAAUAUAUGAUCAUUGUUCCUAAAAAUGGGAGUAAAACUACAAAUAUAUAUAUUUAUGCCAAUACUUAUUUAUAUAAUAUAAGUAGGUAGAAAUAGAUAAAAAUAGAUAAAUUUAAUAAUAUCUUACAGAAAAACUUUUUAGAAGCUACACAAACAUAAUUUCAUCUUUUAUAUAUCUAAAAGUGAUUGAUAGGUUGAAUAUUUGGCUAAUAAGUUAACUAUAUGUCUUACAUGUUGAUAGCUUGUAAUACAAGUUAAUCAUGUGGUGCACACUAUUAUAAUAUGUGAAGUCUUGCUUGAGAAUGCUCCGGGCACUUGACUAUGGAAGAUAGAAUGGAAAUUGCAACAACAAAAUCCUAACUAUAAUAGAAUACUAACUAAACUCUAAUUAGACCAUAAUAAUGCUAAGUAAGCUUUAAUCAAAUUCAAAUAAACCUCAAAGAAAUUUCAAAGAAACAAUAAGAAAUCUUAAAGAACUAUUAGAAUGAUCACAAAUAUAUCUCAAAUACAUCUCAAUUCAAUCUUAAUUUAAUCCUAGUUAAAAUCCUAUUGGACUUCAUUCAAACUUUAGGCCAAAAAUAAUUAAAUAUUAAAUCCUAAACAAAUCCUAAUAAAAUCUUAAACCAUAAAUCAAACCCUAAAUCCUAAAUCAAACCCUAAAGCCUAAAUCAAAUCCUAAUUAAUCUUUAAAUCCUAAACCAAAUCCUAAAUGAAAUCCAAACCAAACUCUAAAUCCUAAACCAAACCCUAAACAAACCCUAGUAAUUUCUACAACAGAAUUAAACCUCAAUAACUAAUGAAUGAAUCGUUGAUCUUAACUCAAAUUUUGCACACUUCUUAAAAACUAAGUUGAAAACAAGCACAAAAAUUUUGAAAAGGAUCGAAAUUACCAAAUAGACGAUAACCUCAAAAAUGUGCUCGGGUAUUGGCCGGCCUCCUACUCCAAUCUUAAUGCCAAUCUCCCGGAGCCAAUAUCUCUCAUUUUCACUAUUUGAUUGAUUUCAAAAUUCUCAUAUACAUAGAAAAACAAGUGUAAUAUCUUUUCACACAAAUUUUACUUCAAUUCAAUUAUUAGAUUGCAAGAAAACUUGAAAACCCUCACUGGACCUAAAAUUCUACUUUCUGAGAUCUUGACCCAUUUAAACCUCAAUAAUCCUCAAUUCAACCGUUAGAUCGAGCUCAAAUUUACAACACAUAUUGAACACAACUAUGACCAUUAACCUACAAAAUUUCACUUAUAGAUCUAUUAUAAAACUCUUGAAAUCAUCCAAAACGUAAACCCUAUUUUAUUUCACAAAACCUAAGUCAUCCAAAACAAACCUUGACUUUGCAAAGCUCUUAGAAAAUCAAUACAAAUCCAAAUCAUCCAAAACCAACGCCCAUAGAAACCUUAUCCAAUCUUCUAUCAAAAUCCUUUCUCCAAUCUGCAAAAAGAACCCCAAAGUCGUCAUCAAGACUCGGUUUUGUGCCUCAAGGUCUGAUUUCGACCUUGGUUCAUAAUCGGCCCUCUCCAGAUAUCAAUAUGUAGUUUUUCUAAAUAAAUUUUGCUAGAAUUUACUCUUAAUUUCUUUCUAAAGAUACUUGUAUCAUUUAUUUUUCCAAUCUACUUUGUUUUGCCUUACUUAUGGUCCUACAAAGUAAAUAGAAGUCACCUUUCUAAAAGACAAUAUUGGUACCUUUUUGUUUUACUAUCCUUUUGACUAUUAACUAUAUUUCUAAGAUAAUUUGUUCUAAUACUUUGAACUAAGAUCUCCUACAUUAAAAUAAUUUCUACACUUUUUCACCUAUUAGUCGUGUUACAUCAUGACAACACAUAAGAAACUUGUUUUGCAAGUGAAGAUGUGUAUCUCAUAAAUUAGACACAUGUUUAAGGUCCUAUAGAACGUCCCUUGUAGCUUUUCUUUAGAUAGUAUAUAUAGAUACAAGAGAGAAGCUUUCUUCACUCUUGUCAAUUCCUUUGUUACUUCUAGUCUAGUUUCUAGGAUCUCUAAUUUUCUUAUUAUAUGGCAAUAGCCAUUUUAGUUUCUUUUUAAAUGUAUGUAUUUUUUUUAUUUCAACCUUAUUAUGUUUCUUUGAAAAAAAUUUCACUUAUUAAUUUGCCUUCAUCAAGUUCUUGUCUUAGACAACUUUAUAAUUAAAUUCAAAUAAUCUUAGUACUAUAAAUACAUGAAAGAAAAAGAUUGGUAUACUAAAGAAGUUUUAUGAAAGAAGAUUAAAAUUUUGAGGAUUUUUAGAACUAGUCAAUUUCUAUCUAAAGUUACAUAUUUUAUAAUUUUUUGAUGGAUUUAGUCAAGUUGGAUUCAUUAAUACAUUCAUAUCUAAAACUAAGCUUUUUUGAUUUAUUACUUUUAUAAAAAAUAUUUUUAAUUCCUAUAUGAUCUAAAUUUAUUUUUAAAAUAAUUAAUCACAAAUUUAAAAAAACCAUUGAAAAAGAGUAGCAAAGACAAAUCUCUUAUCUUUAUGAUAAGAAUCAUAAUUAACUACCAAAAAUGUAGCUCAAUUUCAAAACCUUACUUAUAAUAUUAUCUUAUUGUAACAUAAUUAUUAAGUGAAAGAAAGUAAGGUAUAUAUAUAUAUAUAUAUAUUAUAGAAGGGAUUAAUUAAAAAUAUUAUAAAAAAUUACCUUAUAAAUAUAAAUAAUGGUCAAAGUGAUAAUAAAAAUUAAUAAGUAUUAAUAUUAUUUUUUUGCAAAAUAGGCUUCCACUUAGUUUGUACAACUAUAAAUGAAAAAAAUCAAAGUAGAUUAAAAAAAUUGAUAUAAGGAUCUUUAGGAAAAAAUUAAGAAUAAUUUUUAGCAAAAAUGUCCAUAAAAAACCAAAAAUUGAUAUGCAAAGAGGACCAAUUAUGAACCAAAGUUAAAAUAAAAUAUCAAGGUAUAAAGUAUGGACAAUAUUUUAAAUUACUUUGAGAAUACUAAAAAUUAUGAACUUCAUGUUUAUUAUAUGUUAUAUAAAUUUAAAGAUGCAAAACUAUAUACUUAAAUGGAGCAGUGUAUAUUUUAUAUAAUUCAAGUUGACUUCUUAGGAUACAUCAUUUCAAAUAAUGGUCUAAGAAUAGAUUAUAAAAAAAUUUAGAUUAGUAAAGAUAAAAAUAUUUUAAUAAUAAUAAGAGAUGUCUAAUUUUUUUGAGAUUUUUUAAUUACUAUUAGAUUUUUAUUAAAAACUUUUAAAAGUUACAAUUCUAUUUAUAUAUUUGACUUGUAAAGAAAAACUUAAGUAGAAUGAAGAAGUUUAAACAACUUAAGAAGCUUUGAAGAUAAUUUUUACUCUAAUCAUAAUCUCAUAUUAUGUUAAUUUUUUUAAAGCAUAUUUUAUAGAAACAAAUAUAUCAAACUUUGCCUUAGAUUUUGUAUCAUCAUAAAUAAAAUUAAAUGAAAAAAUUUAUUUAUUAACUUUUUAUUUAAAAAUAAUAUUAGUAAUCAAGAUAAAUUAUAAGAUUCAUAACAAAGAACUUCUUGCAAUUGUAGAUUCAUUUUAAAAUGGUAUUAUUAUCUAAAAAAUGCUCCUAGUUUAAUAAUUAUUUAUAUAAAUUAUAAAAACCUUAAGUAUUUUAUAUUUAUCAUGAAUAUAUAUAUAUAUAUUAUAAUUAUUACCUAAGUAAUAUGAAUAGGUAGAAGUAGAUAAAAAUAAAUUAAUUUUAUAUUAUCUUCUAAAAAAGCUUUUUUGAAGCUUUUUAGAUGGUGUUUCGAUUUUAUAUGUGUUUGUAGUUGAUUGAUAGGUUAGAAACUUAGUCAACAAACUAAUCACGUGCUACAUGUGUUGGUAGCUUAUGGAAGAAGCUAGAUAGGUGGUGUCCAUAUAGAAAACUUGCCUUGCAAAUUAAGAUACAUGUCAUGAAAAGUUUCUUGAAGAAAAGAAGUCUAAAAGCUACAAAUACUUAGCAUUAGCAAGGAUUGUACUCUAAAAGAAAAGUGGAGAAAGAUAUCUCUUACUUCCAAAACUUUUACUUAUAAAUGGAGUUUACAUUCCAAGUACAUAAAUGUCACCUUCAUCUUUUUAACUAGAUCUAGAUUCAUCUUAACCUAGCCACCACCUUAAAAUCUUAGCCGCCACCAUAGUAACUUUUGCUACCUUUUGAUUAUUAGCAACUUACUAUGAUUAAUCUUCAUGUGGUGGUAACUAUAUAAGAACUUGUUGAUCUUUAACACUCCUACUUUGCUAAUUUUUAAAUGGUUUUUAAUCCUAAUCUCUAAAUCAAGUCAUGAUGUCUAUUCUUCACUAAUGCCUUUGUAAGCACAUCAGCAAGCAUGUCAUUUAUAGCACAAUACUUCAUACUUAUUAUUCCAUCUUCAAUCUUCUCUUGUAUGAAAUGAUGUUGAACAUCAAUGUGUUUGGUCCUUGAGUAGUAUUUUGGAUUCUUCGCAAAUGCAAGACAUCCUUAAUUCUUACAAAUAAUUAGAGUUGCUUCUAAUUGUACUAGACCAAUAUCUUCUAAGAGUUGCCUUAUCCAACACGCCUCUAUUGUACAAUGACUUGUUGCCAUGUACUCUACUUCCAUUGUUGAUCUUGCAAUGGUAGGUUGUCUCUUGCAAUUCCAUCAAAUGGCUCUCACUCCAAUGAAGAAGACAUGUCUCAUUGUGGAUCUUCUAUCAUUUGCAUCUCUAAUCUAAUCCACAUCACAAUAGCCUUACAAAUCAAUGUUCUUACCACCAAGGCACAAUUUGAAGUCCUUUUUCUUUUUAAGUACCUCAAUAUCUUUUUUACCAUUGUCCAAUGCAUUAAUCUAGCCUUAGACAUGUGUUGGCUUAUAACACUUAUCGCAUAUCCAAGAUCCACUCUUGUAGCCACUAUUGCAUACAUGAAUGAGCCUACUACUACCUUGUAUGGAAUACUUUGCAUCUCACCUUCAACUUGUGCAAACUCCUCAUCCGUGAGCUUCAUCAACUUCAAAUUUACCUCCAAGGAUGUUCCAAUCGGAUUGCACUCCUCUAUGUUGAAUCAUUUCAACACUUCUUUAAUGUACUUGAUUUGGAUCAUUGUAAUGGUCUUGUUACCACAAUCUCUUAUAAAUUCCACUCUUAAGCAGUAGUGUAACCCUCCCAAAUUACUCAUCUCAUAUUCCUUCUCUAAUUUGGCCUUCAUUUAAUCCAUCUUUUCCAUAUUGUUAGCCAAGAUGAUCAAAUUAUCAACAUAAACGAUUACAAUCAACAAGAACUCUCUACAUUGUAUCACAUACAAUGAAUGAUCUGCCUCACUAUUCACAAAAUCUUCAUUGACAAAGAAGGUGUCAAUUAGUUGGUACCAUGCCCUUGAUGAUUGUUUCAAUCCAUACAAGGAUUUCUUCAAUUUGUACCCAAGAUAUUCUUUGCCUUGUUGUACAAAUCCUUGAAGUUGGUCCAUGUAGAUGUCUUCUUGUAAUUCUCCAUUCAAAAAGGCCCUCUUUACAUCCAUUUGGUGUAUUUCCAAAUCCAUUGCUGCUCUGAUUGCUACAAUGGUUUUAAUGGUGGUGAACUUAGCAAUGGAUGCAUAAGUCUCAUUGCAAUCAAUUCUAGUAACUUGUGAAUAUCCUUUGGCAACUAAUCUUGCUUUGUGCCUUACUACUACAUCCAUUACAUCUAUUUUAGUCCUAAACACCCACUUACAACCAACACUAGAUCGAUUUGCUAGAAGAGGUGCCAAUUUCUAUGUACCAUUGUCCAUAAGAGAUUGAUACUCUUCUUCCAUAGCCUUCUUCUACUUGAUUGCAUCUUCACACUUCAUAGGAUCACAAAAAGACAAUGGAUCUGCAAAAAGAUCAAUAUUUGUAUGUUCUUCACUUACUUGAAGGAAGAUGUGAUCCUUCCACUAUUUGCCAUGUUGCCUUCUUUCUCUCAAAGGAUAUCUCAUUUCACUUGUUGAAGAACAUUCACCUUGUUGCACUCUAUGUUCCUUUCUAACCGUCUUCUCUCUUAAAUCUUGCCAUUUCUCACUCAAUGGUUGAUAUUCUUCAUCAUUAUCAUCAUCUCAAUCUUCAACAUCUUCAUUUCUUUCAUUGCUUGUCCUAGAAAUUGUAGGAGCCUUCAUCUUUUCAACCUACUUUGGCUUUUCAUCUUCAUCAACUUUAUUAUCUUCAUCUUCUUAUUUCUUUGCUAAAUUCAAAGAUGUGUCUAGAAACACACCCUUACUCCCACUUGGACACAUCUCUAAGUGCUCACAAGCACUCUUGUGCUCCAAAAACUCAACAUCACAACUUUUGAUGAUCUUCUUGGUUUCCAAGCACAUUAGUUUAUAUGCCUUAGUACCUUCACAAUACCCAAAAAACAUACACUUUAUACCUUUUGUAUCAAGUUUGGACCUUAUAAAAUCUGGUGUUUUUGCAUAUGCAAUGCAACCAAAGGUCCUCAUGUGGGAAAUGCAAGGUUUUCUUCCACUCCAAGCUUCAAGAAAAGAAGUCUAAAAGCUACAAACACUUAGCAUCAGCAAGGAUUGUACUCUAAGAGAAGUGUCGAGAAAGAUAACUCUUACUUCUAAUACCUUUUACUUAUAGAUGGAGUUUACAUCUCAAGUACAUAGACUUCAUCCAAAGUCACCUUCAUCCUUUCAACUAGAUCUAGAUUCAUCUUAACCUAGCCGCCACCUUAAAACUCUAGCCGCUGCUAUAAUAACUUUUGCUAUCUUUUGACUAUUAACAAUUUAUUAUGAUUAAUCUUCAUGUGGUGGUAACUAAAUAAGAACUUGCUGAUCUUUAACAAAGUCAACAUUUUUUUAGAGGUCCUAUAGAACCUAAGUAGAUGGUAUACAUAGAAGCAAGAGUAAAGCUUUCUUCACUCUUGUCAAUUCUUUUCUUAUUUCUAAUCUAAUUUUAAGAGUCUCUAGUUUCUCUAUCUUUUAGCCAUAGCCAUUUCAAUUUUCUUUUUAAGAUACAUACUUUUCUAUUUUUAUUUUUUCAUAUUUCUUUGAGAUAGCUUCACUUAUUUAUUUGUUUUUAUUGAGUUCUUAUCCUUGACAAUAUUAGCACAUAUUCUAAAUUGCUGCCAAGUCCAUUGAAACAUAUCUUUAUUAAGAUUUAAAUUCAAGAUUACUUACCUACUAAAAAAACCAAGAUUUACUAAAUAUCCUUUUCAAACGUUCUUAUCUUAUAUCAAAAAUAAAAAAUAAAAAAAUAAAAAAAUACAACUCUUCAUCAACAACAAAUCAUUCUUUAGAAGUCAUAAUAAUUUCAUGUUUGAGCAAUGAAAUCAAGACUAACUAUUGAUUCAAUAUUUUUUAAUCAAUUUAAAUAAAAUAUUUUUUUAAAUCUUUUUAUUUAUGAUAUUAAAAAUAAUUCUUAUAAAUCUAAUAAUAUUUUUGGAUUUGAAUUCAAGAAAAAUCUUCUUUAUUUUGAGAGAUGCUUAUAUAUUCUAAAAGGUGUAGCAUAACUACAUACUCUUUAUGCUUGUCAUAGUUUUUUAAUUACAAGAUAUUUUAAAUAUAACAAGACCUAAGAUUUAAAAUUAUUAUAUUUUUAGAAAUUUUUAAUAUAAAAAAUAGUUAAAGACUUUGAACAAUCAUAUAAUAUUUGUUCAAGAUAAAAAAAAUUCUUAUCAUUGACCUUAUGGACUUUUACAACCAUUAUCAAUACUAAAACAACCAUGGUCUUAUAUUUCAAUUGGUUUUAUCACAAAUCUUUUAAUUUUAAGUUCUUAUGAUUUUAUAUUUUUAAUAUUAAAUUAUUUCACUAAAAUGGCAUAUUUUAUAUCAUAUACAAAAACUAUCAUAAGUGAAGAAACAACUAAUUUUUUCCUUCAUAAUAAUUAUUAUUAUCAUAAAUUAACAAUAAAUGUUACAUUAAAUAAAAUGACUCAAUUUAUAUCAAAAUUUUGGAGAAUUCUUUUUUAGAUAUUGAAAAUGGAUGUAAAUUUAUUUUUUAUUUUUCAUCCACAAAUUAAUGGACAAAUGACAUAAAAGAUAAGAAGGUAGUAAAAAACUUAAAUGGUUUGGCAAGGAAAAAUUAUUGCUUAAAAAUUAAGACCUAUGUUAGAAAACAAAGACAACAAAAUUGGAGAGUUUUAGAAGUUUUUUCUCUCAAUAGGUGAGUUUGAUUUUCUUCAAUAUUUGAAAUGUGGAUGAAAUUUUAGUUGAGAUCAUUAAUUCAAUUAAUAGUUAUUGAGAUUUUAAAAUAACUUUAGAAAUUAGUUAAGAUUUAUUUAGGAUUUAUUAGGAUUAAUUAGGAUUUGGUGAGGAUUUGGUGAGAUUUUUUAAAGAUAUCUUAGAGUUUUAUGAUAUUUUGUUUAAGGUUUCAUUAUGAUUUUAUAUGAAUUUAUUUAGGAUUUUAUUAAGAUUUUUUUAAGAUUUAUUUAAGACUACAUGAGGAUUUGAUUAGGAUUUACUUAGAAUUUUUAUUUUGAAUAUAUUUUUAGGAUUUUUUUAUAUUUCUUUUAGAUUUUUAUUUUUAACAUUUAUUAAAGAUUUUUUAAAAGAAUAAUAUAUAAUUUCUUUAUAUUACUUUUAUAAAUAAAAUAAAAAAAUAAUUAAAAUUUAAUCAAGAUUUUUAAAAUUUAAUUAGAAUUUAUUCAAGAUUCUAUUAUAUUUGAUAAGACCUUAUUAUUGCAAUUUCCUAUUUAUCUUCUACAAUUUAGUAUCUAAUAUAAUUUAGUAUUUAUCUUCUCAAGCAAGAAUUUACUUAAUAUGACAUUGCCAAAAUAGAUUAGAAUAUUUUAUACAUUAGCAUAGAUAUGAUUUUAGUGAAUACACAUAGGAACUAACUAAAAAUAUUAUAAGUACAACAAAAAAUAUUGAUAUUUUUCAUUGCCUACAUCUAUCAAAAUAAAGAUGAAGAGUCAAAUAAUUCUUUGCUUUAAAAGAAAUAAGGUUUAAUAAAGAUUUAUCAUAGAUGUACAUAAUUAUCAAGAUAAAAAGUAUUAAGAAGAAGAUUUGAUACUAUCUUAUGGAGAAGCUUCCUAGAAGCUAUAUACACAUAGAUUUAAUUUUAUAUAAGUUUGUAAUUGGUUGGUAGGUUAGAAACAUGACAACCAAGUUUAUCAUGCAUCACACAUGUGAAUGACUAAUGGUACUAGUUGGUUAUAUAGCACACAUGUAGGAAAUUUAUUUUGCAAGUUAGAUAUGUGUCUUACAAGUUAGACACAUGUCAAAGGUCAUAUAGAAUACUACCACAUAGCUCUUAAUUAGAUGGUAUAUAUGGAUGCAAGAGCACAGGCUCCUCCACUCUUGCUAGUGCCUUAUUUGUUCUUAAUCUAGUUUCAAGAAUCUCUAGUCUUCUAGUCUUUAAUAGUAGCCAUUUUAGUUCUAGUAUUAUACUAAUUUUGAAUAAAUAUCUACUCCUUUUGAGUGACACAAGAGUGUAUUGAGGUUUUUAUUGUUUGUAAUUCAUGUCCUUGACAAUACUUUGUUUAAUUGAUAUUAGCUCUUAAAAGAGUUUUGUAUUUUUCUUUCUUAUUAUGAUUUAAAUAGACAAAAGAACACCUAUAAGGACUUAAUAUUAUAGAGUGUAAGAUAGAAUAUAUUUUUAAUGAUAUUAAAAUCGUCAAGUUAUGAUAUUAGGCAAGUCUUAAGGUGUCUAUAAAGAUAAUUUUUGUAUGAGUUUUGGCUAUUAACAUUGUAUGAUCAACUUUUAAGUAAAUCUUAAAUAAAGAAAUCUAGACUUGUCAUAUAUCAAAACAUAUUAAUACUUGCCUUAUAUCAUCUUAUGACCAUGUAUGAAAUAUGAUUAUGCAUAUUAUGUAAUAUUUAGUACAUGAAGUAUACUAUAUUAAAUUAUAUUGAAUAUGCUUACAAAAGCCUUGUAAUCCGAUAGCAUUGAAAAGAAGAUUAAUUCUUAGUUAUAAGUCAUGGAAUUAGUUUAAAAGUAAGUCUUAAGUGAUAAUAUCAAUAGAAUUCCAAAAAAUACUUAUAAUUAUUUAAAAAAGUAAAUAUGAACUAAAAAAUAAUGAUCAAUCUUGAUUACUUUCUUUAUUUCAAAUUCAAUUUGAAAUAAAAGAACGUAUAAAAAUAGUUAAUGCUAUAAAUGUGGUAUUACAAGUACAAUACUUGAAAAAAAAAAAAAAAAAAAAAAAAAAAAACUUUAGACUUGAAAUAUAUGUAAGACUUUAAUGAUGUAGAAAAAUUAAAAAGUUAUAUUAAAAUUAGGGUUUAUUUUAAUAAUAAUAAUAAUUGUGAAUUAUGUAUGAGUUGGUGCUAAAUGAUGAUUGAUUUUGUUCUAGAGGUGCGUAUAUAAGAAUUGAAAUAUAAAUAUUGUGAAGUUUAUUGAAGAAAUGAUUAUGAUUUUUUUUAGCCCAUAUGCUACAUAGCAAGAAAGAUUAUUUUCUUAUAUAUAUAGAUAUAUAUUUAUAUAUCUAUAAAAAUAAGACUUCUUUGAUUUUAGAAUUAAUUUCAAUGUUACAAAUUUCACAAGUCUGUUGUGUUAAAAUGUUAAAUUAAAAACGCUUGAAUGAAUGAAUUAUAUUAGAUUCAAAAACCGUGCUUAUCAUCGAGACUUCCAUAUGGGAACCUUGCCAGUUUCAUCCAACUGUAGGAAAAGCAACCAGAACCACGAAAGGGAACGCAAAAGGCUAGCGAAAGUAGAAAGGGGAAGAAUCUGAAGGCCCGGGAACGCAGCCGAGAGGGCGUUCGCAAAGAGAUUCGCGUCCCCAAGGAGGGGAAUCAAAUAUCUAAUGAAGCCAGCCGGGGGGGGGGGGGGGGAAAAAGGCUUAAGGGGGGCUUAAGGAUAAGGUUCCCAUGCCCGUGGGCCUCGCUCGCUAUCACGACAUGGGCAUUGUGCCUGGUCUCCGUUGCCUCCCUCCGCAAUCCUUCAAUAAACCCUCCGUUCCGACGAGUUUUCUCUUUUUUGCAUCGUCGUCGUCACAGAUUAGGUGAUGGAAAUUCGUUGGCUCUCAACCUUUGCCAUGCCUCUUGUAACUAAAAACUGAACAGAUGAUUCGUAGCCAUUUGAACAGAAUGACGAAUGUUGCGUUCUUUGUGGCUUCAGGGUUUUGGAUUUGGAUGGAUUUUGAGACUAGCAGGGCUUCUUGGAGGGUUUUUUGAUGAGUGUGGAGGUUUGAGCUGGGGUUGCAGUGAAGGAAGAGUAGGAGGAGGAGGAGUGGAGGUGGAGGAGGAGUGGAGGUGGAGGAGGAGUGGAGGUGGAGGAGGCGGCGAUUUGCAGUGGUUGCUAAGGAUUUUAAGGAAUUUUGUGAGGGGAGUUGGUUGAUUUUGAGUGUGUUGGAGGCUUAGAUGUGGUGGUGGAUAGGUAUGUAGUAUAGAGAAGGAAGUGAGUAGGCUGGAUAGCCAUAAGGCAGAUGGCUCUUACAGUCAGGGCAAUGGCAUCAGCUGCACAAGGUGUGCGUCGUGCGGGCAUGUUCUACAGUGACUCGUUGGAGUCAUCCAAUUUUUAUUGUAAGAGUAGGAUAAGUGGCAGAGCGAGUGGCGGGGUUGUUUGCAAGAAGGCUCUUGACGGUCUUGUCUGGAAACACUUGAGAUGGAAUGCGAAUUUCAAUGCCAAUUCACUCCCGAGGAGUCUUGGCAGAACGAGACGUAGAGGUCGGAGUCAAGUUGGCAGCUGGCGUGCUAUACAGGUUGAUAUGCAGCUCACUGACGAUGCUGAUGGCAUGAGAGUUGGAGUGAGGAAAGCGAGGAGCGCGGCUACUGAUGUGUCGUCAGUAUCUCAUAACAGUAGAGACUUCAUUGGCGGGGAGAAACUUGCAAGUGAUGGAGAAAAGAUAACGAAUGGGGUGAAUGUCAUUGGAAGGCCUAAGAAGUCUAAAAGCUCUGGAGUGAACGGUAGCUGUGGAGGGAAGAAGAAGAAGAAGUCUACAGAGGGCGCUAAGGAUGAUGAGCGCCUGAAUUUAAAGGUUGAUGGAUUUGUUACUGAUUACAGCGAUAGUGAUUUGGAGAGGGAUGCGGAAGAUAGCGAAGAUGAAUUUGAAGUAGAUAUCAGUGCUUACACUGAAAAAGGCAAUGGAAAUUCGAGGACUUCGGAUGCGAGCCUCAACGGCGAUACUAGGGUUUCUGGUAGUGUUAGAGAACGGAACCCUGGACAAGAGGAAACGGACUUGCGGUACAUGUUUUUGGAGGCAAUCAUGGAGAAAGCUCGCAAGGCAGACGUUGAAGGAGUGGAGGAGGCUUUAACUGGAAUGUCACUUGCGGGUUUGGAUGCUGGCCCCAGGGCUUACUAUGGUCUUACUGUUGCAUACGCUAGAUCUGGUGACCCGGAAGGAGCUGUACGUAAUUUCAUGCCUUGUGUGAAAGACCUAUUUUAUUUUAUUUUAUUUUUUUUAAUGCUGUUUGCGUAUGUUUGCUUAUUUAUUGACUCAGGCCUAACUGCUUAGAUUUUCCUUACUCUCGCUUGUCGCAGGCCAUGCCAUAACAAAUUGUUCAAAACUAAUUCUAUUCGUCUAUUCAUUUUGGGAUGCAUCUACUACAGAAUUUAAAAUUUAUCACUUCGAAUAUUGCCAGCAGAGUUGAGCUCAAGAGCUCAUCACAUGGUGACGAUGAAUAAUUGUGGCUAGUUACAAGAUAAUUUGUACCCUUUUAAUCUGUUUCAUAACAUUCACAGCUACUCGCUCAUAAUCUCCCUUUUCAAUUCUUUAGGGUGAAUGCCGUAGUGUUGAUGUAUGAAGGCUGUUGUCCCUUAUGAAUCCAAUCCACAUUGCGCAGGUCCAAGCACUAAAGAAGGCGGUCCAAGCAGGAGUGAAUCCUUUACCAGAAUCUAUGCUGGCCUGUGUGCGCCUUUAUGGUAGCACUGGCCAACCACAGCGGGGCAAGGAAAUUCUGGCUGCUAUGGAAAAGCUAAAUUACAACCCUAGGGUGGCUUGGCUAACUUUAGUUGGUAAGCAUGCUUUGACUUACGCAAAUGAAAAGCAUUGUUUAUUCUGCUUUCAAUUUGCGGUCAUCUGUGAAACGCGUGUUACCCUGUUUAUUCAUGUAUUCGUGAGAGACUGGUCUGAUUGAGUAGAAUAUUGGGUUGUAACGUUUUGAUGUUGAUAUGUAUCACAUCUUUUUCUUUGACCAUUCCGAUUCAUUUUAGUCUGAAAAAAUUUCAAUGCUUUUCUUGACUUAUUCACAGAGGAGCUUCUCAAUAAUUCUUAUCUACAAGAAGCGAAUGAGGUUUAUAUUGAAGGACUUGAAGGAGGACUUCGAGGCACAGACGUCUUGUUUGAUAGAAUAGUGGAGGCAAACUCUAUUAUUGGGGAUCAUGCAAAUUGUAUCAGUGUUCUUCGAUUAAUGGAAUAUGGCGGGCGCAUGUCUACAACAUUCCACUACAAUUGUCUUUUGCGAGCUCAGGUACUUACAGGGGUAUGAGUCUAGGUAGUAUGAUUUAACACAAAAAAGGACUAUCUAACUCGUCAGUCCUGAUUUUUUUUCUGAACUCCGAGCUCUGUAGUUACUCGAAAUCUGGUAGUCAAAUAUUGUCAACGCCUAAACUAGCAGAUCUAACUGUAAAAUGAGGCGUGACAAAGCAAUGUGCAAUUAGUGUUUUCUAGAGUUUUGAGUGUCUCCAUUGAACAUGCAGUUUUGAACGACUAAAUUAGUCUAUUCUUUACAUCUCCUAAUUGGUUGGCAAUGUAUUAUUUUUGGGCAGUGUAUGGCAGAUGUUCCAGACAUCAUCGCCAUGACGUUUGAAACUAUGCAGUAUGGCCGAGGUUGGUUCAAACCGCUAAAUGUGCUUGAUUCCAGACUGAGGUUGAUUUGCGAUGACGCUGUUUUUAAUAUGAUUAUUAUUUUUUUUUACCUUUGGUAGCGUGUACAUGUGCGUGUAGAUGAAAUGAAGCCGGACACAGAGUCAUACAACUGGGUAUUACAGUCAUAUGUUCGGCACAAGUUUGGUGACAGGUUGAAAUCUGCACAGCACUCUGAAGUUAAUUAAAGUUUUUAUUUUUUUUAUUUUUGUUUUCUACGUGUGGUCCCUGCAGGAUGUGACUCAUGCUCAUUCUAACUACCGUUAACGUACUGAUCUUUUUACGUGGUUUUUAAUACAGGUGUCAAGAGGUCAUCGAUUUGCUGGGAGAAAUGGUUGAAGAUCACAAGAGGGUGCAACCAAAUCAAAGGACAUACGCGUAAGUGUGCCAUUAAUUUCAAGGGCACGGCUUAGUGAAAUUUAAAUAUAUAAAAUACCACUAAUGGUGCUUUGUUUGGAGGAUAGAGUAAUUAAGCUCUGUCCUCCAAAUUACUGUAAGAUGGUGUGAUGGUCUUUAGUCACUUCGUCACCGAACUCUGCAUCCUAUUUCUGACUAUCGAAGGCUGAACAAAGUAUGAACUCACUUGCUUUGAUUCUUAUCUUGCUGUGAGAAAAACAUUGAAAUUCUUUUGUGUUCUUAUUUUUUCAGGCUUCUUGUGGAGUGCUUCAGCAAGUAUGAUCAUUUCAAUGAAGCCGUGAGACACUUUAGAGCGUUAGUUAGAAAUCCCGGAUCAACCACUUUUCUCUUCAAUGAAGGUCAUGGAAGAGACACUGAUCCGUUAUCACUUUACAUUAGAGGCUUAUGUCUAGAAGGUGCGUACUCUCACCCUUGUUUUCAGAAAUCUGCAUCAUUGAUUAUGAAAGAAAAAUGAAUCAAAAUGUGAUCGUGUUAGACCUAAGAUAAACGAGCCAUAUUGAACGUGCAAAUCAAGUCGCAUACUCCUUACAACCUAAACUAAGGGACAUUUCUUCGUAUUUCCCUUCAGAAGUUGACUAAGAAAUAACGUAGCCGAUGUGGUUUGAGAAUGUUCAGGCCGAGCCGGAGAUCUGGUGGAGGUGUUGGAAUCCAUGGUCAGGGACAAUCAGCCCCUGCCAGCGAGGGCACUUUUGGUCAACAAGAGGGGUCGUACAUUGGUCAGCUCUUGGAUAGAACCUCUGCAGCAGGAGCCCGAUCUUGGUUACGACAUCGACUAUGUUGCAAGGCAUGUCAUUUGUAUUGAUUGAAACUAGGUGUUAGCUGUUUUGUUCUUUAGAUGAAUGCUCCUUUCGCACAAUUGGUACGAAUCUUAUUUAUUUUAGUGGUAUUUACUUCAGUGAUUUGGGUAGAUAAUGGAGUUUGAGGAUAGGUUUUGUCAAAUAUUUAGUUCCGCGCGCAAUUAGUGUUAGUUUCAAACGAGAUUGUUGAAGUGUACUACAUUUCGGAGCGGGACCAUAGCGACAGUACCUGGGAUUUUUUCUGCGGUCUUGUAGCUGUUCUAAAGAUGUCAGAAGUUUCUUCGUUGUAUGUGUGCUAGUACGAGAGUGUCAAUUGGGAUUAUAUUCUUAUGACUCCAACUCCAUACAAUGUUUAUAGAAACACACAAACUCUUGUAGUAUAUGUACAUGUUAGAGUGAGCAGUGACUGAAAUUUAGAAUUAUCACCUUGAAGAUGUGGGUUGAGGAACUACUGGUAAUGAUACUUUUGAUAUUCUGAACAGAUUCUUAGCAGAAGGAGGCGGGGAUGGCACGCGGAAGAGAUUUACUGAUUCAGUUGGUGGAAGGUUCAAGGCUGUAGAUGAUGAUGGCUUCGCAUAUGCAGCCCCGCUGGAAGUUUCUUACAAGAGUUUCCUGACUCAUAUGCGCAAGAAUUACAACUUACGGUUGCUUCGGAAGCUGAGAUUGGAGGGUGUGCGUGCUUUAGGUCCAGGUGCUACUGAGGCAGAUCUUCACCGUGUAAUUGAAAGGUCAGUUUUCUUCAUUUGUGUGCUGAAUUCAAUGUGUGUGUGUGUGUGUUUUUUUUUUUUUUUUUUUUUUUUUUUAAAUUUAGAUAUCAUUUUCACGCGUUACUGUGCAUUAGCAGAGACUAUUUUCUUAAAGGUCUAAUAUAUUAGUCUUGUUGUUUUUCAGGCUGAAAAAGGAUACUAGAGGCGAUGUGGGUUACCAAAUAAGGAAACCGAAGGCAGCUAGUAAGAUGCUCGUUUCAGAGCUCAAGGAUGAGUUGGAGGCACAAGGGCUUCCUACUGAAGGCACUAGACCAGUGCUGUACCAGCGCGUGCAGAAAGCCAGACGGAUAAAUAAGGCUCGUGGCCGACCACUCUGGGUUCCUCCAACAGAAGACGAACUUGAUGAGGUAUAUCAGAUAUAAGCAAGAAAUUUUCAGAUUUCUUUCACCACUUGUCUUAUUGUCGUGUACAAACGCAGUUACAGUGUGCGAUGUUUCGGCUAGUUCUCAGCUCAGUUUUUUUCUGAAUCUCUGGGACAGUUGUGAGUUUCCUAUUUUGCUUCUCCGGUGGUUCGACCUGGCCCUCUCCGAUGGUAUCUGUUAGUAAAUAGUGGUAGUAUUGGUGAUCCUGUCUUCUCGAGCAUAUUUUCGUUAUUUUUAAUAGUAUGUAUUCUGGCACUGUCUGCAGAGACAUGAUGAAGAGAUUGAUAUGUUUAUGGAAAGAUUAACGCUGAAGAACGAGAAUUCGGAAUUCUGGAGGAAGCGAUUUAUCGGCGGAGCGGGUAUUUUGGAUGAGGAGGAAUCUUUAUAUCAAGCUUCUGCCGAUUCUGACGAAGAAACCUUCGCAGACGAUGAUGAUGAAGAUGACGACGAUGAGGAUGAGCUUCAGGUAACAGACAGUGCAGAUGAUCUUGUUGAAGAUGGAGGCGAGGAGGAUGUAGGGGAGCCCCCUGAAAUGUUGGCUAUGCAGCUUCUGAAGAACAAGAAAGAAGAGGUUAGUUAUAAGUGGUGGUGUAGUGCAUGUUCAUUAUGAAAGAAUCUUUUCUUUCUUUUUGAUCUAUGCUGUUUUGGUCUUUGAACAGCGCCUGUAGCAUGGAUACGAUCGUUAGAUGUGAGGUCAUAUCAGACUCUGAGUAGUUCAUAUUGUUUUAGUAAGCGACUGUUGGUCCUGGCCCUGAUAUGAAUGCAGUAGCUUCUGGUGGGACUUCAGUUAAAUUGACCUCAGUCCGACCUCGGUCUCAGUUAAAUGUGCGUUUGCGAUUCCGUAGUCUAUUGUAGGCAAAUUGUUUAUUCUGUGAGCCGGGUGUUAGCUUCAAAUGUUAUCUCCUAAAAUAUUAUUGUUUAUCAUUAUUUUCAGGUUCCGGUAGUGAAGGAAGAGGACAGGGAGGGAUCAGAGUGGCUAGGGUUGACUCUGGAUGAGAAGAUUACAUUUAUGAAGGAAAGGGGUAUGGAUGAAUCAGCAUUCUACACCAUAGCUGAUGUCUGGGGAUGGACAUGGGAGCAAGAGAUUCGAGAUCGUGUGCCAGAAGACUGGUCCCAGGAGAAGGAAGUGCAGUUGGCCAUCGAAAUCAUGCUCAAGGUUGGACGAUUCUCUGUUCUCUCAGCCGUCGUAGCUCAAAAGUUACAAGUGGCUCUCUCAGCUGCACGAGAUGUAUUAUUGAUUUUAAUGAGUUACAUUAUUCAAUGAUUAGGAACUGAUCUAGUUGUCUCUUCAGGUUCAAGCUCUUGGAGGAAUUCCAACCAUUAACGACAUGGGAAUACUUGUACGAGCAGCAAUGCGAACACCUUGGCCUGAGGCAUUAGUUUCUCUUCUCCAACAUUCUCAUAAGCUUGGUUAUGCAUUUGGCAGGUAAAUUGUUUGUCAUUGGACCUCGUCAUUUUUAAGGAUUGUUUUGUUACUUUCGGUUUAUUUAAGGAAAACGACUUGAAUGCGUUAUACUUGAGGAUAUUUUUUGAUGCACAAGCAACUUAGAAAUUGCACUUUUGUUACUUGCAGCAAGUUGUAUGCCGAGGCUGUGCGUCUGUGUCUAUCACUCGGAGAAAAGGACGCUGCAAUUAAUAUCAUUUCUGAUAUGGAGGAUAUGGGCGUGGCUGCUCCACCAGACCUUCUCACGGAUGUCCUCGAAGAAACCCAGUUUCGGCAAAUCUCGGAUGUCCUUGCAGUAGAACCAGAGGAAGAAUAGGUCGAGACGAUACAGCUUCCCUCUUUUUAUCGGGCUUACCUUUUAUCCCGCAUAGGAAAGAGCUGUUUAGAAAGCGAGUCAUUUAAUGAAGUCGCCUUUUUAGAAGCCUGUUCUGACAGCGCACAACUUGGUCGCACCUUAACCUAGAUACUAUGAUCUUCCUCGCUUUUACUAGCCCUUUUGAGACGGUUCAGUAGAGAGCUCUCAUCUUCUCGUUUUAGAGGCACAGAGAUGCACAUCUUUGCCCUCAUCCACUUAGAUGCCUGGCCAACCCUCAGGCACCAGAAAAUCACUGAUUGUUUUCGUGAUAUAUUAACAAAGCUGUUAUACAAAGCCUCUGGAAUAUCCUCGGCUUUCACACAUUUUAUUAAAGCUAGUGAAUCUUUUGGUCAACUUUUUGGAAGUGAGCUGGGUAAAGUUGCAUGGGUUGCAUGGGUUGUAACCUGCGGUUUAUUAUCUGGUUCUGAAAUUCUACAUGCCGUAAGAUCAUACCGUUUUUUCAGGAUCUCACUCUAAGUUUUCCUGUUGAUGUUUUACAUUCGGAUAUUCUCCUGCAACUGAUAUCAGGAGUUAACUGCGUGCGAAGUUUCAGGCAGCCACAGAAUCCCAUAAUUCAGCUUCUGUUUAUGAUUCUUAACAGAUCGUUCAAUCGAUUGCAUUGAUAUUGUGUGUGUGUUGAUAUCUACACAUCAACACACACAAAUGGUGAUACAUACGAGUAAGAGUAAGCUCAAAUAACCAAGGGAAGUUUGAAUGGUGUGCAAAUUAUUGUCGUAACCAGCAUGUAUUGAAGAAACCAAAUUAUUUCGGUGUAAUUACCGUCCUUAAAGUUAAUAUAGUGCCCUUAUUGUGAUCACCCUGGUUACAUUGCAGCAAUCUUUCUGCAUUGUUAACCUCUAAAUUAAGAUAGAACUUCUAAACUAAGGAAUUCUUUCAAUUUCAUUUAGUUGAUUGAACUUUGCAAGACUACAUCAAUAACAUUGCUGAACUGAUUUGUUUUUUUCUCUCAAACUUAGAACAACCAAAUUAAAACAUUGCAGUAGUGGGUUAUACACAUGAUAUUGCAGUGCAUCUUUCAUACACAAAAGAGACUCUCAAUGUUGGGUAAUAUUAUUAGAGGUAAAAACUACUCUUGAUUGUGCUCUAAGUAUUUUAUUAGAAGGAAGUUACAAAGACCUCAAUAAUGAUCAAAUAAAAUGGUGGUAUUCUCUCCCUUCUAUGGGAUACUAUUAAUGAUUGAAAGGACCUAUCAACUACCUUUAAUGGGAACAAAAAUUAGAGUAUGUGGCAAACACAAUUUGCCACAUUUUGGACUUUAUCAACAUGUAAUCACCACUCUUUGUAGAACUCAUUUCAAGAAUGGAAGUAGGAAAGGAGGAGGUAAUGUAAAAAAUAUAUAUAUAUAUAUAUAUAUAUAUAUAUAUAUUAGUAACUACUUAGAUUAGAAGAAUUAGAUAAAAGAAAUAAAUGUAAGCAAAUUUAAAGAUAUUUUGUGGAAAAGCUUUAUAAACAUAGAUUUGACUUUCAAAUUAUUUGUAAGUGAUUGUUUGGUUUAAAACUUGGUCAAUAAAUUGGCUAAGUAUUGCACAUGUUUACUUUCUUUACAAGUUAACUACUAUUGUUUAUGUUGACCACUUGCUUUAUAAAUUGGCCACAUAUUGCAUACAUUGGUCACUUAUCAUAUUAAUUGGCCAUGUAGUGCACAUGUUAGAAAUUUUUGUUGCAAAUUAGAUAGGUGCUUUAUAAGUUGAACACAUGUAAGAUGAUCUAUAGAACAUUGUGACAUAGUUCCUUAGUUAGAUAAUAUAUAUGGAGGCAAAAGUGAGGCCUUCCUCAUUCUUGCCAACACUUUUCUUGUGUUCUUGCUUUAGUUCAAGAACUUCUAGUCUCUUUGUAUUUAGCAAUAGUUUUACUAGUUCUCGCAUAUAUCUAUCUUUGAUUUGUCUACUUUCUUUUUUUUGAGUAUUAUAAAAGUGCAUUACUUCUUUAGAGUUUGAUUAUGAUUCAUAUCCUUAAUAUUAGCUUGACAUAUAUAUAUAUAUAUAUAUAUAUAUAUAUAUAUUACAUUUAUGUAUAUUUUUUAAUAUCUAUGGUAGUAAAUAUAAUUUAAGAAAGUGUUUUUACUAAAACUUAUUUAAAUUUUAUUGUGAGUUAUAUAUUCACCUUCUUGUUUAUAUUGUGUUCUUACAUAAAAAAAAUAAAUCUGAUAUCAAAAUGAUACAAAUAAUAAAACAAGAAAAUCUCAAACCAAUUAAUUGAAGAAGAAAAAAAAAUAGUAAAAAAUAUGAUAAAAUAAAAUGUUAAAUUUUAUAUUUUAAUAAAAAAAACUUAUAUAAUUUUUUUUUUAAAAUAAACCUAAAUAUAUAUAUUUUUAAAAAGAAUAAAGUGAUUUUUUUCUAUUAUUAUUAUUUAUUAGAAAACUUAAACAAAUUGCACCCUUUAGAAGCAUGUAAAUGAAAAUUGGUCUAUAAGUAAAACAUUAUAUUUUUUAAGCAAAAAAUAUUUUUUAAUAAACUUAAAGUAUUUAUUGUAAUCCAAAAAUAUAAUUUUAAUUUAAUUUUAAAAUGUUUAUUAUAGAAAUAAUUAACUAAUUGAAUUGCUAUUCAAAUAAUAGUUUAAUGUAUUGGUUUUAUGUUUAUUGAUUCAUAACAUAAUAUUCUUAGUUUUAACAUAAUAUAUAAAACCAAAUUAAAUAUAUAUUUCUUUAAAUUUAUUUUUAUCAUAUAUACAAAUAUAUAUAUAUAUAUAUAUAUAUAUAUUAAAUUAAAAAUUAAACAUAUGCAAUGAAAUUUUGUAUUGCUUUGAAAUUUUAAAAAUUACAUUAAGUUUUGAAAAAUAAUGCAUAUGAAAAUGAACUUACAUGCAUUUUUAUAUUUUACAAAUAUUCUUAAAAAAUUAAUGGAUUUUUUUAAUUAUAAGAAUAUUUCAUAUUAUUAAAUAUAUAACAUGUUUUUCAGUUAUAAACCAGAAAUAUCAAACGGAUUAUGUCAAAUUAGUAGAAUUAGAUAAAUUUUUAGAAACGAACCUAUUUGCAUAGAAUAUCUAUUCAUGGUAACUUAUAGUAUUAAAAU